AAACUAUGAAACUGCAACAUAGAGACAUAAUGUUAGGCCAUCGUACAUCUGCUAUAUAUUUCAUGUUAGAGACAUGAUGACAUAAAGAUAGGCCAUUGGGACAAUCGAUACAUUCCAUGUUUUAGACAUGAGGACUUAGUACUUGUGACAGGACAUAUGACUACUUGCCAUUGUGCUCAUUCGCACAUACUUGUGAGGGUCGCUCCCUACAAGCCGGCACUCCGGAGAUAGCCAUCGCGAUUCGUAUUCGCCGUGCGGGAUUGGGCGCCGAAGUGGAUUGCCGUGGGCCAGGCUCAUUCCUAGGGUGGGGAUGAUGACUACCACGGGGCCAUUAGGCUCGGCAUCGGCCAGACAGCCUACGGGUGGGUCUCAGGGCCAUAGACAGCCUUCGGGUGGGUCUCUCCAGAAUUGACUUUGAGUAUUCACUACGACAUGUGGACAGAUGAUGACUUAGUAUAUUGACUAGAAUAGUAAACAAUGACAUCUUUACUAUUUGCUUGAGGACAUCGUAUUGGUUGCAUACUUAUGCUUAUUUAUGUCAUACACAUCCAUGUACAUUCAUGUUAUAGUCGCUUUAUUACUUAUGCAAAUCACGCUAAGAAGAGACAUUAUGCUAUAGUGAGUUACAUUUUACUUACCUUUUACUUUACUACAUUUUUGUCACUGACCUCCUCUUUGUAGCUUUUGGGCCUUGUGGCGCAGUUCACUGAAGUCAGUAAUUGCCCACUGGGAACUAUUUUUAAUAGUUCUCACGCCCUCUUUUUCGUGGUUUCUUUCAGAGCCUUCGGCACCGGCGAAGGCAUAGGAUCGUGGCAAGGGGAUCGCAUAGCUAGCUAGCGAGCAGCGGUUUUUUGCUUAGGUGAUUUACUCUUUCUUUUUGUAGUUUAGAGAGUGAGAGAUUUUGUACCCAUGUAUAGAGACCACCUAUGUAUUUACUUUCAACACUUGUUUUUGGGAUUCCUUUGUACUACUUUAUGUUUUUACUAGUGGAUUUCAGCUUUAUGUUCCUUUCUCUAUUGUAGGACUUAGUCUUAUAGCAUGCUCUGAUACUCCUAGAUAUCUUUUAUUAUUGCUUAUUUCAUUGUUGUUUUUAGACGCCUUAUAUGUUUUAGACGUAUGGCGGGUCUGGGCACGUGCCGAGCGGGCUUCCGCUGGGUCCCGGGGCGUGACAUUAAUAAAGUCACGAUUAAGAAUAAGUAUCCGUUGCCGAGGAUCGACGAUCUAUUUGAUCAGUUACAGGGAUCCAGUGUGUAUUCCAAAAUCGACUUGCAGUCGGGAUAUCACCAGCUAAAGAUCAAGCCUGAGGAUGUAUCAAAGACGGCUUUUAAAACACGGUAUGGACAUUAUGAGUUUACUGUGAUGCCGUUCGGGCUUACUAAUGCCCCGGUAGCUUUUAUGGAUCUAAUGAACCGUAUUUUCAAGCCUUAUCUAGACAGGUUUGUCGUGGUGUUCAUCGACGACAUCUUAGUUUAUUCCCGGAGUGAUGCGGAUCACGAGGAACACUUGAGACUUGUACUUCAAGUGCUUCGGAAAAGGAAGCUCUAUGGUAAGUUGAAGAAGUGUGAAUUUUGGCUUAGAGAGGUGGCGUUUUUAGGCCAUGUGAUUUCAGGAUUAGGCGUAGCCGUGGACCUGAGAAAAAUUGAAGCUAUUAAGGAUUGGCCAAGGCCGACGAGUGUCACGGAGAUUCGGAACUUUAUUGGUUUGGCCAGCUACUACCGACGGUUUGUUGAGGGAUUCGCGAGAUUAUCUACUCCCCUCACGAGGCUCACACAUAAGGGCACCAAGUUUAUUUGGAAUGAUGCGUGUGAAAGGAGCUUCCAAGAGUUGAAGCAGAGAUUGACUACCGCCCCGAUCCUAACCUUGCCAAUUACUGGAGCAGGGUACGUGAUUUAUAGCGAUGCUUCCUUUAAUAGAUUGGGAUGUGUUUUGAUGCAGGACGGGAAGGUGAUCGCGUAUGCUUCUCGCCAACUAAAGGAUUAUGAGAGGAACUAUCCUACUCACGACUUGGAAUUGGCGGCCGUAGUCUUUGCAUUGAAGCUAUGGCGCCACUACUUGUAUGGCGAGCGUUGUGAAGUGUAUACGGAUCACAAGAGCUUAAAGUAUUUAUUCACUCAGAAGGAGUUGAACAUGAGGCAGCGCAGAUGGUUGGAGCUGCUCAAGGAUUAUGACUUGACUAUUCUUUACCACCCAGGCAAGGCUAACGUGGUGGCAGAUGCGCUAAGUAGGAAAUCGACAGAAAACUUAGCGAUGCUUGUGGUUACUCAAUCGCCGUUGAUCGAACAGAUGAAGCGGUUGGAGUUGGAGGUGGUAGCUCCUAAUACACCUUUGAGAUUGAUGACUUUGGUGGUGCAACCUACACUUGUGGAAAGGAUUAAAGAAAAGCAAGUCUCCGACGUGGAGUUGCAAAGUAUUCAAACUAAGAUGAUUGAUGGUUGCAUCAGUGACUUCGCUAUGGACGGUGUGGGAGUGAUGCAUUUCCGCGGACGGAUCUGUGUACCGGCGGAUUUGGAGAUUAAAGAAGACAUUCUUCAAGAAGCACACCGAGCACCGUAUGCUAUACAUCCGGGAGGCACCAAGAUGUACAAGGACUUGAAGUUGAUUUAUUGGUGGCCCGGGAUGAAGAAAGACGUUGGUGAGUUUGUUGCUAGAUGUUUAACUUGCCAACAGGUUAAAGCUGAGCACCGGGUCCCCGCAGGGAAAUUAUAGAGCUUACCGAUUCCGGUGUGGAAAUGGGAGAAGAUCACCAUGGACUUUGUGAUGGGAUUGCCCCGCUCGCAGGCCGGGCAUGAUGCUAUUUGGGUGAUCGUGGAUAGAUUGACGAAAUCGGCACAUUUCAUACCUAUCCACACUACUUGGACUGGUGAGAGACUCGCACAGGUAUAUUUAGAUGAGAUUGUGCGAUUGCACGGGGUACCUACUUCUAUAGUAUCAGAUCGAGACCCCCGUUUGGUAUCUCACUUUUGGAGGAGUUUACAGGAUGCCUUGGGCACGCGCUUGGACUUCAGUAUAGCUUUCCACCCUCAGAGUGAUGGGCAGUCAGAGCGCACUAUACAGACACUUGAGGACAUGCUUCGAGCCUAUGUGAUCGACUUCCAGGGAGGAUGGUUGCAGCAUCUACCAAUGGCAGAGUUUGCUUAUAACAACAGUUAUCAAGCAAGCAUCAAGAUGGCGCCAUUCGAGGCACUUUAUGGACGGAAGUGUAGAUCGCCACUUCAUUGGAGUGAAGUUGGCAAGAGAUUGGCUUUAGGCCCCGAUGUGCUCCAGGAAGUAGAGGACAAGGUUCGCAUUGCUAGUGAGCGACUGUUGACAGCCCAGAGUAGGCAAAAGAGUUAUGCUGAUAGGCGUUGACGAGACUUGGAGUUUCUGAUAGGAGAUCAUGUCUUCUUGAAAGUCUCGCCGACCAGAGGGAUUAGGAGAUUUGAAAUUCGGGGCAAGUUGAGCCCCCGAUUCAUUGGACCGCAUAUGCUAUGCUUGUGGUUUAUUAUGUUUCAUUAUGCUUGUAAUAUACCGAAAAUUCGGAAAAUAAAUGUCGAACUUUAGUCAAAUUGACCAAAGUGCGUGGAUGGUACACUUCGGAAAGUCUGAAGGUGUUACAAUGAGUAAAAGUGCGUUGUGGAAGGUUUUCGAGAGCUAAGAAUAAAAAAUUCUGCAAACUGUAGAUUUUCAGCUCUCGGGGACCGGUCCCCGGUGGGAGAGACCGGUCUCCGAACGCGUGAGAAAUGAGACAGCCGAAAAAUCGGUUAAGUCCCUGAGAAACAGCUCUCGGGAACCGGUCCCUCCCCGAGAGACCGGUCCCCCAGAGAGACUAGUUCCCCCUGAGAGAGACCGGUCGCAUUCCGCGCAACAGCUCUGGCUGCACUGGGAGAGCUCUCUGGGACCGGUCCCUAGUCGGGGAGACCGGUCCCCGAGCCCGAAAUCUACCCAGUCUAGGCAGUGUAAUAAAGUGAAAGUUGAGGGGUUUAAUUGCAUUUUUGCAACCCAUUGAGCUAUUUAUGAGGGCAAAUGAAAUAUUUCUCUCAUUCCACUCCCUCUCACACUCUCAUCUCUCUUUCUCUCUCUAGAAGACAAGAAGGAGAAGAAGAAGAGAAGGAAAAUGAAGGAAAAGGAGAAGAAGAAAGUGGAGAAGAAGAAGGAGUGAAGAAGCUCCCUCUCCCUCAUCUCUAGCUUGAAAAAGGAAAGCUUACAAGGUAAGCUUUGAACCCUAAUCAUGGUAGAACCUAAUCUAGGGUUUAGACUAAGCUAAGAAUGGUUUUUAUAGAAGCUAUUGAGUGUUUGGAGCUCUCUUUUGCUCCCUUUUGAGAUCAACACCAUGAAAUGGUGUGGAGGGAGAAGCUUGAAGGAGAGCUUCAACCUCUCUCAUGGUAGAAUCCAAACUACGGUUUGGAUUGAGUUAAAGAUGGUUUUAAUGGACUUCCUAGAGUAGCAUGAAGCUACUUUUGCUUCCCAAUGAGAUCAAACCUUAGAUUUGAUGUAUGUUAUGGAGCUAGGGAACCCAAAUUGGGGCUUUUGCUCAUGAGGAUUUCUACGUAAAAUUGACCCUCUGGAAACCUAAUUGGGGGUGUUUCCGACGCGUUGGUGUGUUCGGAUUAGCAUUACGAAAGGCCAAUGUAAAGAUAUGAGCAAAGUGGCCUAAUAGGGCUUCGUUUUGCCGCAGGUAAAGAACGAAAGGUCUAGAAAUCCCAAGAAAAUCAUCGGAGCACCUUUGAAAGCCUACGAGGUGGGUAGUGCUUUUCAAACUCGUUGAACUUCCCUCUAUACCUAAUGUGUCAUUCAAUUGAGCAUAUGUUUAUACAUUGUUGCAUGCAUUUUAGGGUAAAGUAAUGAUAAUAAUGUGAUGUUGCAUGAUUAUGAGUACAACUUGCAUAAUGUGAUGGUUGAGAACCUUAAAAAUGUCAAAACCCUAUAUGUGUGCAUGAGGUGAAAUGUGAGAACCAAAGUGAGGUAAAAGAACAGAGUGACACAAUGACAUAGAUCGAGUGGCAUUCGAUAGUGCAAAGUAAAGUGACACUAGAGUUAGUGUGAGGCAAAGAAUCAAUGUGAUGUAAAGAAUAAAGCUAAUGACUAAAGUGAAAACAAAGUGGGGCGUAAAGAACAAAGAUUGCUAGAGUUAGCAAAAGUAAAGAAAUGUAAAGAAUAUGAUUGCUAGAGUUAGCAAGAGUAAUGAAUGGUAAAGAACAAUGAUUGCCAGAGUAGCAACAUAAAGUGAUGUAGAGAACACUAGAGUUAGUGUAAAGUCAAGAUUGAACAUACAAUCCUUUGAGUUAAGGAUUCGAUCAUACUUGCUAUGAGUUCCGUGCUCGAGGGCGGUCGCUCCCCCUCGGGCGAUGCGCUCCGGAGUUUUUGCAUCACGGGUUGGAGUAAACCCGAAGGACGGUCUUAGCGGGAGGAAGCUGAGGGCCCGCGAUGAUGGACUUAAUGUGAAGCAAGUUAAUGUGGCGAAACCCCCGGGUUAGCCUUGAGAUUAAAGAAUAAAGAACAAAGAGUAAAGCAUAAAGAACAAAGACAAAGUGUAAUGUGUAAAGAACCAAAGAACUUGCAUAAUCUGCAAACGGGGGCAUAUUUCCUGCUUUUGUUCAGGCAUAUUAGCAUCAUAAUAUAGAUUGGUUACUAUAUUCAGCUUAUCCGUUCUAUUAUGCCUGAGUUAGUCCUAGUGGGAAAGUCGGUGAUGUUGAGGCCGAACCCACUGGGAACUUUGUUGUAGUUCUCACCCCACUAUUUUUACAGAGCCGGGACCGAGCGAGCCGGCGAGCGACCGAGGUAAAGGUAUCGCGCCUUAGUAAGAGGCCACCAGAGUUGGGUUUACAUUUUGUUAGUAGCUACCCUUUUAUCAUCUUUUGUACUUGAUGACUAGUGAUGUAAAGAAAGAAUGUAAUGUGUAUUUUAAGGUAAAUGUGAUGUAAGAAAGACAUGAUAUAAUGAAUGUAAGAAAUCGAUAAUGUACAAGUUGGAUGCAAUGUAUAUGAUCAAAAAUGAAUCAUAGUACAAGUGAAUGUUUAGUUUCCUUUUUCUUUCACUCGUGGCUAUUGCUUACCCUCGUGUAAGCCGUAAUUGUAUGUUUCCGCUAGUGCACUUCAUUGUUUGAAAAUGUACAUAUGAUGAGCCUUGGACGGACAGGGAAACUCUGUCCGUUCGGCGUCUGUUUGACGUGCUCUGGCCGGCCCAAAUUGAUAUCGGUCUCGGGGCGUGACAAUGCUAUACUAUGUGAACCUCGUUUACAUUUUGAUUUUUGCCUACAUGGUUGCUUACUUUUUUAUUGUGAUAUAUGCUAUGCCUAUGAUUGUGUUAUAUGCUUGUUAAUUAUAUGCAUAUAUUUAGGGGGAGCAUUCUACUCUUUUGCUCUCUACUCAUUUGAUAUUAUAUCACAUUAUUUGUCAUCAUCAAAAAGGGGGAGAUUGUUGGCCUAGUGGCCCUAAUCUUCUAUUAGAUUUUGAUGAUAACAAAUAAUUACGAUUAUUGGACUAAUCUUUUAUCUUGAGUUUUGUGUUUUAGAUCUCUCUAUAUUCAAAAAAGAUUCAAGAUGAGCAAUAUUCUAGCACCAAUCUUCACCUGUAACAUACCACAUCCAUCGUAAAUCAUGCCGAGUUUCGUCGAAAUGAGCGGAACACGGAGUUGAGUGAGUUAAAAUGGACCUUAAACGCAUUAGAGUCCAUAAGUGAAGCUAAAAGGGACCCGAGAGAGAAAAUCAGAAAAUCUGGCUAAGUCCCAGAUUUUGUGCUCUCGGGGACCGGUCCGUGAAGGAGAGACCGGUCCCCGUACGCGUAGCCUGCCAGGAAACCCCGAGGCAUCCGGUCCCUGGUGGUGAGACCGGUCCUUGGGAGACCGAUCCCUGGGGGAGAGACCGGUCCCUCGCUGCGCAGCCAGCCAAAAACCCGAAAAUUUGGUUAAGUCCUGGAAAACCCUCGUUCGGGAACCGGUCCCUGGUCGGGAAGACCGGUCCCCGAAGCCAAAAAAUGCCCAAUCUGGGCAGAUCAAUGGGAAAUAAGUGGAGGGGCUUAAGUUCAAUUAUUACAACACUAUAUAUGGCCCAUUCCCUCUCUUCCACAACCAUUUCUCUCAUCUUCUCUCAUUUCCCCUCUUUCUCUCUCUAGAACUCCCCUAGAACUUGGAGAAGAGGAGGAAGAACUUGGAGAAGAAGGUGGAUUUGGUGCUUUGGAGGUUCUAGGAGCUCUCCAACAAGAAGAACCUUGGUGGAGCUUGGACUAGAGGUAAGUUUUGUGAGGUUUUCCUCUAGGGUUUGGGUUUUGGUUUGGAGAAUUGGAGCUAUGUGCUCCUUAGGGGCUUUAGAGGCUCUUUUGAGCCAUGAAUGCCAUGGUACCCAUGAGAGCUCAAGGUGCUCUCAUGGUGAACCCUUGGAAGUUGUGUUAGGAGCCCUAGGGUUGGUUCCAAAGGUCUAGAAACCUUACUAGGAUGCUCUUUAGAUGAUUCUAAGCUAUUAUUCGCUUAGGGUUGAGAUCGAUUCAUGGGGAAACCCUAAAUGACAUUGUUAAGGCUUGAAAAUUGGGACUUUUGCCCUUAGAUUUUUCGGAGACAAAUUGACCUCGUAGAAACCUAAUUGGGGGUGUCCUAAACGCAUGGGACAACUUCGUUUAGCAUUACGAAAAUGUUUGGGAGUAGUUCAUAUGUAAAGGGCCUAAUUUGGCACCAUUUUGGGUUGCAGAACGCAGAGCCGGCGUUCGUAGCGCUCGGUAGUCACUACAUUCCACACCCACACGAUCAUUAGAGGUGGGGGGUGCACGCCGGAAUCGUUGGAUUCCUUUCUACGUCUAUUUCUCUAUUCUUGAGCAUAUGGUUGUUUAUUCCUUCAUACAUAUUAGGGUUAAUGCACAUGUGAACUUUAGUUGUUUUUAUUAUGUUAUCGCAAGGGUAUUUGAAAAUAGAGAGAAAUGGAACCAUGAUGGACAUGUGUUGUGGAACCCUAGGUAUUGCAUGAUAGUGGGACUUGGACUUAGCACAAGUAAACAAUGGGGACAAUGACAAUAGAGAGAUAGAUUGGCUUAGACAAAUCGAUGUUAAACAUAGAUUUAACUAUAGUGACAUUACGAUGAGAUCGACUAGAAAGUGGCAUGAAAACAUAGGUAGAAAACCUAUCACAAAAGUGGCAAUGUGACAUGUGGCUAAAUAUCCUCAACUUGGGGAUUUGAUCGACACUCAUAAUAAGUCUUGGCUUGAGGGAGGUCGCUCCUUCUCAAGCGGUGUGUUUCCGGAAAUCGACACCACAGGAAGCGAGGUCCCUGAAGACGGUCCCUCGGGUCGGUAGUGCUUGGAGCCUCCCCGGUAAAGAAAGGGAUUUCGGGUUAUGAGUUUUUGGGGUUAACGAGGUUAACCGGUAAGAUUGGGUAAGAGCCAGAGCUUAAUUAUGAUUUGAGCAUGCAUGCAUAUUUCAGUAUGGCAUCGAGUAUAUGUAUCCACUGAUAUUCUUCUGCAGGCAUGGUAUUAGAUGCAUUAAUAAUGGUUAGUUUUCAUUCCUUCAAAUACUUAUGCCUGGAUAGACCUAGUGGGUAAGUCGGCAAGGUCGGAUGCCGAACCCACUGGGAACUUCGUUGUAGUUCUCACACCACUAACCCUACAGGUCCUAGCACGAGCAAGGCGGCGGAGGACCGAGGCAAGGGUAUCGCGCCGUAGAUAGCGGCCACCGGGACUUUAUACAUUUUGUAGUCAUUCCCCUUUUUCUUUUGGUGUACAUGUAUCAACUUCUUUGAUUGAUUUAGAAAUGUAAAGUUGUAGAUAAUUAUGUAAUUUUGGGUGGAUGGCUAAAUGUAAAAAAGAAAUGAUGGUUGAAUGGAAAUGCAAUAGUUUUAUUUACUUGUAUUUGGGUCAAAUGCAAUCAAGUAUCUUGUAUGUUAUAUGAUGUAGCUUAGAGCUUUCGCUUCCGUUGUUGCUUGCCCUCGUGCAAGCCUUGUAUUAUAUAUGCAAAUCUCUUGUUGAUUGCCUAUUUAUACAUGUUGUUAGAGCCUUGGGCGGACAGGGGAGGCCCUGUCCGUUCGGCGUCUGUUGAUGUGACCCGAUCCCGACCAAGUUGGCGGGGAUUGGGGCGUGACAGAUAUAAUGGUAUCAGAGCGAAGUGGAAAGUAAAAGUCUAGGAAUGACCUAGAAACCUUAGGAUGGAGACCAUAGGGACUUAGGAAAACGCUUGACGUGGACUUGGUUUAUGCGAAAGUGAGUGAUUGGGUUAAUGGUAACACUUCUUUAGAAGAAAGUAGAGAUGGACUAGAAGGCGUACUUGUUGUCUACUUAAGGGACUUUGUGGGGCGGCCGACCACAUGACACCAAGAGUGGGAACGAUUAUGCUUGUUGCUUUCGCUUAAUUGGGUAGUUACUUGGAACGCGUGAGAGUCACGUGCCUUGAGUGCUAAUGUGUGUGUGCAUUGCAUUUCAGGACGCGAUGGCACCGCCAAGGAGAGUUACGAGGUCCACACCGGCGGAGCCUCGGGAGGAGCCCGGGCAGUCGGGGUCGGACGAAGUGCGCAAGUUGCGAGCCCAAGUAGCGGCCUUGGCCGGGGCUAUGCGGCUUCGAGGGGAGCAUAUUAGGCAGCUCCACGAGAUGAUGGCGCGACAGGCAGCGGCGGCAUCAGUGCCAAGGGAUCCACCCCCACCGGCUGCUCUUGUAGCACCACCUCCUCCGGUGGCGCAUCGCCAGUGACGGCUAUUCCUGCGACGGCAUCGGGUUCAUCGGCUCCUAUUUUCGAUGUACUUGAGGAUGAGCAGGAGCGUACGUUGGCGGCGCUGACGGCAUUUAAACGAUUCAACCCUUCGACCUUCAACGGUGACGUGAAGGACCCUUGGACGACGGAGAAUUAGCUAGCCGUGAUGGAGGCCUUGUUCGAGGAUAUCUAUACCCUCGAGAAGGAUAAAGUUCAUUUGGCGGCUCAUUGUUUUGAUGGGUCGGCCCGGUUGUGGUGGAAUCAAGCGAGGAAAAAUCGCUCGCUAGGGCACCCUUUUCUUACUUGGGAAGCGUUCCGAGAGAUGCUGCUUAUGGAGUAUUUCCUCGAGAGCAACAAAAGAAAAAUCAAGGAGGAUUUUCGGAAGUUAAGACAAGGAAGCCGAUCAGUGCGGGAGUACGAGAGGGAGUUCACGCACAUGAUUAACUGCGUACCGAACUUGGUUCACGGUGAUAGGGAUCGAGCGGAGGUAUUUGAGCGCGGGUUGCGACCCGAAAUUUUCAAGGUUAUUCAUGCAUUUCGCUUGAAGACCUAUGAGGAAGUGCUUGAUCGCAUGCUUUGGGUAGAGCGCGGGAAUGCCAUCGCGCGUGACGAGCACGAGACUUUUGAGAGAGACAGGGAAAGAGAUAAGACCAAGAAGCGACCGGCUGGUGGAUCUGCGGGGCAAUCAAGUUCUAAGCGACCCCCGCGACCUCCGCGAUCACAGUGGCGGGGAGGUAGGAGUCAGACCCAGAGCCGUGUCGCCUAUCCAUGUGUGAUCUGCGGUGAAGACCACCGGGUUACCUCUUGCGCACAGCGAGAGGGGCGAUGCUAUCGGUGUGGCCAGGCAGGCCACAUUGGCCGAGAGUGCCCGGGCGGCCCGUCCCCAGCCCCGUCAUCAGCUUCAGUUCAAUACACUCAGCGACAGCUGGUGGGACUGCCACCCGCAACAUCGGCUGGUCGAUCGCCGGCGCUUCGUCAGCCGGAGGCUUCUCGAGCACCUAGUGGGCGAAUUUUUACCACUCAGGUGGAGGAGCAGCCGAUCAUUGUUCCCGACGACGUUGUAGCAGGUAUUAUUCUGAUCAGAGGCACUAGAGCUAGAGCUAUAUUUGAUACUGGUGUAUCUCAUUCCUUCAUAUUAGCAUCAUUUGCACAAGCUCAUGACAUAGAGGUCACGCAUAGCGAAGAGUAUUGAUCGGUGAACACUCCCGAGCACUCUUUCGACGUUCACGACGAGUGCUUGGACUGCCUAGUGCAAAUAGGUGAUUGGAUCAUGCCGAUCAACCUUCUAGUGUUAAAGGAAAUGUGGGGCUUCGAGGUAAUCUUGGGGAUCAAUUGGCUCUCUAAGUAUUACGCAGUUAUGGAUUGCGAAAGGAGGGUGAUCACGUUCCAUGAACCCAACCAAGAGGAGUUUGUCUAUCGGGCGUGUAAAGGUAAACGCUUCGCAACCACUAUAUCAACGGUGAGGGUGAAAAGGAUGAUCAAGGGUGGUUGUAAGGCCUACUUGGCGACCAUCGUAGACCCUUGACAGGAGUACCCGAAACUAGAGAGUAUUCGAGUUGUGCGGGAGUAUCCGGAUGUAUUCCCAGCGGAGUUACCGGGAUUGCCUCCGGAUCGGGAAGUCGAGUUUGUCAUUGACUUGAUUCCCGGAGCGGCGCCAAUUUCGAAGGCUCCGUAUAGAAUGGCACCGAUGGAGCUAAAAGAGUUAAAAGCUCAAUUACAAGAUUUGCUCGAUAAAGGCUUCGUGCGCCCGAGCGUGUCCCCAUGGGGAGCUCCAGUGCUAUUUGUAAAGAAGAAAGACGGCACACUUCGACUCUGUGUCGAUUAUCGCGAAUUGAAUAGAGUGACAAUCAAGAACAAAUACCCAUUGCCAAGAAUUGAUGACCUGUUCGAUCAGUUGCAAGGGUCAAGGGUAUAUUCAAAGAUUGAUCUGCAGUCGGGGUAUCAUCAACUGAAGAUACAUCCCAAAGAUGUGCACAAGACAGCGUACCGUAUGCGGUAUGGCCACUAUGAGUUUACGGUCAUGCCAUUCGGGCUCACUAAUGCCCCGGUGGCAUUUAUGGACCUAAUGAAUCGCAAUCUUCCGUUCGCUAUUGGACUGGUGCGUCGUGGUCUUCAUUGACGACGUAUUGGUAUAUUCUCGGACCAAAGAAGAACACGAGGAGCAUCUAAGACUCGUGUUGGAGAUACUCCGGAAGGAAAAGCUUUAUGCAAAACUAAAGAAAUGCGAGUUUUGGCUUUCGGAGGUUACCUUCUUGUCACAUUGUAUCCAGAGAUGGCAUCUCGGUGGACCCAAAGAAAGUUGAGGCGAUUAAAGAUUGGCUUCGCACGACAAGUGUAGCGGAGAUUCGUAGCUUCCUUGGACUUGCGGGCUAUUACCGGCAGUUCGUGGAGGGGUUUGCUAGGAUAACAACUCCACUGACGCGCCUUACGCACAAAGGGGUAAAGUAUGUUUGGAGCCCCGAGUAUGAGCGGAGCUUUGAGGAGCUAAAGAAUAGACUGAUAUCUACUACGGUGCUUGCUUUACCGACGCCGGGAGAGAGUUAUGUCGUAUACAGUGAUGCUUCAUACGUCGGUCUCAGGUGUGUGUUAAUGCAAAACAGCCGAGUCAUAGCUUAUGCUUCGCGCCAGUUGAAUAGUUAUGAAAAGAACUACCCGACUCACGACCUUGAGCUAGCGGCGGUUAUAUUUGCGCUAAAACUGUGGAGGCAUUACCUGUAUGGGGAACAUUGUGAGAUCUACACCGAUCAUAAAAGUCUCAAAUACUUGUUCACCCAGAAGGAGCUGAACUUGCGACAGCGGCGGUGGUUAGAGUUACUUAAAGAUUAUGACGUCACGAUUCUCUACCACCCCGGGAAAGCGAACGUUGUAGCUGAUGCCUUAAGUAGGAAGUCGGCGGAAAAUUUGGCGACGGAGAUUACACCUCAACCGGCUUUGCAAAAGGAGAUGCAGCCGUUUGGACUAGAAGUUGUGGCGCCGGGAGUGCCGGCAACACUCGCCACCUUAGUUGUGCAGCCAACCUUGUUGGAGAAAAUUAAAGAAUUACAAGCGUCGGAUGAAUUUCUCCAAAAGGUGCGGGGCAAAGUUGAGAGCGGUAGUGCCGAUGAUUUUGGCAUUGGAACCGACGGCGCACUACGAUAUCGAGAUCGUUGGUGCGUGCCCAAGGACGACGACCUUCGGAGGGCGAUUAUGCAAGAAGCGCAUCAAUCUCCCUAUAGCAUUCACCCGGGCGGCACCAAAAUGUAUCGAGAUUUGAAAUUGCAUUAUUGGUGGCCGGGCAUGAAGAAAGAUAUAGAAAAGUUCGUGGCGCAAUGUCCACGUGCCAACAAGUGAAGGCGAAGCGUCGAUUUCCGGCGAAAAAUUGCGAAGUCUACCUAUACCUGUGUGGAAAUGGGAAAACAUCGCGAUGGACUUUGUGACAAGUUUGCCAAGGUCACAAGGUGGACAUGACGCGAUUUGGGUAGUUGUGGACCGGUUUACAAAAUCGGCGCAUUUUUUGCCGAUCCACGCUACUUGGUCGGGAGACAAGUUAGCUCAAGUCUAUAUUGACGAGGUGGUGAGACUCCAUGGGGUUCCGGUAUCUAUUGUGUCGGAUCGGGACCCUAGGUUCACAUCUCAUUUUGAAGAGCUUACAAGAUGCAUUAGGCACGCGGCUCGACUUUAGUACGGCAUUCCAUCCUCAAAGUGACGGUCAAUCGGAGAGGACGAUUCAAAUACUUGAGGACAUGCUUCGAGCGUGUGUACUUGAUUGUAAGGGCGGAUGGCACAAUCACUUACCGAUGGCGGAAUUCGCAUACAACAAUAGCUAUCAAGAGAGCAUUGCGAUGGCGCCAUUCGAGGCCCUGUAUGGAAGAAAAUGUCGCUCGCCGAUACAUUGGAGCGAUGUGGGCGAGAAGAUGGUUCUUGGCCCGAAAGUGGUGCGGGAGGCGGAAGAGAAAGUCCGCCUGGCCCGACAAAGAUUGGUGACGGCGCAAUCAAGGCACAAAAGUUAUGCCGACAAGCGGCGAAAGGAUAUUGAGUUCGCGGUAGGAGACCGCGUAUUUCUAAAAGUAUCGCCGAUGUGAGGAGUUAAGCGAUUCGGUGUUCGCGGGAAGCUAAGCCCCGCUACAUCGGACCCUUCGAGAUUCUAGAACGAGUUGGCGUGGUGGCCUAUAAGUUGGCAUUACCACCGAGGCUCGCGGGAGUACAUGAUGUAUUCUAUGUAUCCCAACUUCGCAAAUAUGUGUAUGAUCCAGAUCAUGUUCUCUCGUAUAUACUGAUAGAACUUCAAGAGGAUAUGACAUAUGAGGAGUUCCCGACGCACAUUGUGGAUCGGGAAGUAAGAAAACUACGGAACCGCGAAAUCCCGUAUGUUAAAGUUCAUUGGUGCGAACAUGAUGACCGGGAAGAAACGUGGGAGCUCGAAAGCGAAAUGAGGGAGCGUCAUCUUCACAUUUUCGAGGAUCUAAAGUGAGGUACGGAAUUUAAAUUUCAAACUUAAUAGUUUCGAGGACGAAACUAAAUUUUAGGGGUGGAGAAUGUAACAUACCACAUCCCUCGUAAAUCGUGCCGAGUUCGGUCGAAACGAGCGGAACACGUAGUUGAGUGAGUUAGAAUGGACCCUAAGCGCAUUAGAGUCCAUAAGUGAAGCUAAAAGGGAUCCGAGAGAGAAAAUCAGAAAAUCUGGCUAAGUCCCAGAUUUUGUGCUCUCGGAGACCGAUCCCUGAAGGAGAGACCGGUCCCUGUACGCGUAGCCUGCCAAGAAACCCCGAGGCAUCCGGUCCCUGGUGGUGAGACCGGUCCCUGGGGGAGAGACCGGUCCCUCGCUGUGCAGCCAGCCAAAAAUCCGAAAAUUUGGCUAAGUCCUGGAAAACCCCCGUUCGGGAACCGGUCCCUGGUCGGGGAGACCGGUCCCCGAAGCCAAAAAAUAAGUGGAGGGGCUUAAGUGCAAUUAUUACAACACUAUAUAUGGCCCAUCCCCUCUCUUCAGAUCAAUGGGAAAUAAGUGGAGGGGCUUAAGUGCAAUUAUUACAACACUAUAUAUGGCCCAUCCCCUCUCUUCCACAGCCAUUUCUCUCAUCCUCUCUCAUUUCCCCUCUUUUUCUCUCUAGAACUUCCCUAGAACUUGGAGAAGAAGAGAAAGAACUUGGAGAAGAAGGUGGAUUUGGUGCUUUAGAGGUUCUAGGAGCUCUCCAACAAGAAGAAUCUUGGUGGAGCUUGGACUAGAGGUAAGUUUUGUGAGGUUUUCCUUUAGGCUUUGGGUUUUGGUUUGGAGAAUUGGAGCUAUGUGCUCCUUAGGGGCUUUAGAGGCUCUUUUGAGCCAUGAAUGCCAUGGUACCCAUGAGAGCUCAAGGUGCUCUCAUGGUGAACCCUUGGAAGUUGUGUUAGGAGCCCUAGGGUUGGUUCCAAAGGUCUAGAAAUCUUACUAGGAUGCUCCUUAGAUGAUUCUAAACUAUUAUUCGCUUAGGGUUGAGAUCGAUUCAUGGGGAAACCCUAAAUGACAUUGUUAGGGCUUGAAAAUUGGGAUUUUUGCCCUAGGAUUUUUCGGGGACAAAUUGACCUCGUAGAAAUCUAAUUGGGGGUGUCCUAAACGCGUGAGACAACUCCGUUUAACAUUACGAAAAUGUUUGGGAGUAGUUCAUAUGUAAAGGGCCUAAUUACCAUUUUGGGUUGUAGGACGCGGAGCCGGCGUUCGUAGCGCUUGGGAGUCACCACAUUCUACACCCACACGAUCAUUAGAGUUGGGGGGUGCACGCCGGAAUCGUUGGAUUCCCUUCUAUGUCUAUUUCUCUAUUCUUGAGCAUAUGGUUGUUUAUUCCUUCAUGCAUAUUAGGGUUAAUGCACAUGUGAACUUUGAUUGUUUUCAUUAUGUUAUCGCAAGGGUAUUUGAAAAUAGAGAGAAAUGGAACCAUGAUGGACAUGUGUUGUGGAACCCUAGGUAUUGCAUGAUAGUGGGACUUGGACUUAGCACAAGUAAACAAUGGUGACAAUGACAAUAGAGAAAUAGAUUGGCUUGGACAAAUGGAUGUUAAACAUAGAUUUAACUAUAGUGACAUUACGAUGAGAUCGACUAGAAAGUGGCAUGAAAACACAGGUAGAAAACCUAUCACAAAAGUGGAAAUGUGACAUGUGGCUAAAUAUCCUCAACUUGGGGAUUUGAUCGACACUCAUAAUAAGUCUUUGCUUGAGGGAGGUCGCUCCUCCUCAAGCGGUGUGUUUCCGGAAAUCGACACCACAGGGAGCGAGGUCCCUGAAGACGGUCCCUCGGGUCGGUAGUGCUUGGAGCCUCCCCGGUAAAGAAAGGGAUUUUGGGUUAUGAGUUUUUGGGGUUAAUGAGGUUAACCAGUAAGAUUGAGUAAGAGCCAGCGCUUAAUUAUGAUUUGAGCAUGCAUGCAUAUUUCAUUAUGGCAUCGAGUAUAUGUACCCACUGAUAUUCUUCUACAGGCAUGGUAUUAGAUGCAUUAGUAAUGGUUACUUUUGCUUCCUUGAAAUACUUAUGCCUGGAUAGACCUAGUGGGUAAGUCGGCAAGGUCGGAUGCCGAAUCCACUGGGAACUUCGUUGUAGUUCUCACACCACUAACCCUACAGGUCCUAGCACGAGCGGGGCGGCGGAGGACCGAGGCAAGGCUAUAAUGCCGUAGAUAGGGUCCACCGGGACUUUAUACAUUUUGUAGUCAUUUUCCUUUUUCUUUUGGUGUACAUGUAUCAACUUCUUUGGUUGAUUUAGAAAUGUAAAGUUGUAGACAAUCAUGUAAUUUUGGGUGGAUGGCUAAAUGUAAAAAGAAAAUGAUGGUUGAAUGGAAAUGUAAUAGUUUUAUUUACUUGUAUUUGGUUCAAAUUCAAUCAAGUAUCUUGUAUGUUAUAUGAUGUAGCUUAGAGCUUUCGCUUCCGUUGUUGCUUGCCCUCGUGCAAGCCUUGUAUUAUAUAUGCAAAUCUCUUGUUGAUUGCCUAUUUAUACAUGUUGUUAGAGCCUUGAGCGGACAGGGGAGGCCCUGUCCGUUCGACGUCUGUUGACGUGACCCGAACCCGACCAAAUUUGCGGGGAUUGGGGCGUGACAGACACUUGAAGCUGUGUUUGCAUCCUUUGUCAAAUAGACAAACCAUUCUUAAUUUGAUUAAUAUUUUGCCUUAUGAUUAGAGUGAGAAAUUUUGAGCUAAGUUUAAACUAUUCAUUUUAUCACCUUAUAGAUCACUUAAACAAAUUUCUAAAUUUAUGAUUAGGUGAAAAGGACUUUUAAAUAUUCAAAAAUUGCUCAAAUUCUGUGUUCUGUCAAGUUGAAAUUUCUGGACCCUAUUCUGGGCGCCCUAAAGUGGAUCCGAAUCUUUUGAGACUUUUUGGAUCUUGCCUGUUUGCUGUUCGGGUGAUCCAAAAACUUCUGGGCACCAUUACUUCAAAUUAGGGCAACCAAGGUUAUUUGACUUGACAGGUUGCAUAUCAGCCCAAAAAUUCUGACAGCAGGCGGCGCGCAAUACUGGGCGCCCAGAUUUUAUGGAAGCCCAUAAAUGAUCUUGGUAAGCGGCGCACGCAAUCUGGGCUGUCUGGCAAGAAAGUCAGCACGAUUUUCUGGGCGCCCACAACUUUUGACGGCUCGAAUCCAGAAAAACGGCGCAUGUCAGAAAAGUUGUCCCUCGAGAUCUGGGUGCCCAUAAUUUCUGAUGGCCCAAAUCCAGAGGUGGCGGCGCGUGUCAGAAAAGCUGUUCCUCGUGUUCUGUGCGCCCACAACUUUUGACGGCCCGAACAUACAAAGUCAAGAAAAGCGGCGCACGUGGUCCGACAGGCAGCUGGCGUGCACAACUUCUGGGCGCUCGGAAACAGGUUUAGGGCGCCUGAAAGUACAACCGAUAGAAGCUGCCCGAGGCUGUAAAUAGAUGGUAUUGAGGCCUCUCUCUGCAGCAACUUAGUAAUUCAUUUGAGCUUAAAAAUUUUAGUGAUCUUUAUACUCUUAGCUCUCAAUUCUUUCUCUAAACUUGAGUGAAAUUGGUAGUGAGAUUUAAUCUUGUAAAAAGUGAGAAAAUCAAAGUCUUGAAGCUUGAGAAGAAGGAGUUGAUGUGAAGGCUUGGUGCUUGCCCGCAAAAGCAUCAUCUAGUGGAGAUCCAACAUUCUCGAGUGAUUGAGAAGUUGGCGGGGACGUAGGCAAAGUGCCGAACCUCGAAACAAAUUGAUCGUGUGCUUUUCGAGUUUGCAUUUCUUUUAUUUGCAUCGGUUUUUAAUUUGCUUGAUUAUUUGGAUUUUUAUUUUAGAAACCUAAUUCACCCCCCCUCUUAGGUUGCCAUUUUGAUCCUCAAGUGUUAGACCACCCAUAUGUUUGAGCCCUAGCGUGAUAGGAAGGCUCAUCAUUUAAUUUGAAAUAAAAGUAUUAACUGAAAAGUUGCCCCAGCUAAAGAACAAUUAGUGUCUCUUGUUAUGGCUACAAGUUUAGAUUUUUUGUUCCUAGUUUGACUCCUCCAUUAUCUGGCGUUACGUAAGCUGAGAUACAAAAGAACAUUUAGCUCAUAGUCUUAAAAAUUCAUUGAUCAUGGAUCUAAUAAGAAGGAUGAAGUUUCAAAUCAGAUCAAUAUCUAGAUUCUUAACAUUAUAAGAGAAUUCAAUUUUGUUAAGUAUUUGUAUCGGUAAUAACAACUAUCACUACUCUUGACAUUUUAUAUUUUCCUCUUUCUGUUGUCAAUAGACCUAAAAUUUUGCUCAUUAACUAUUUUAUCUGGUGUUUCCUGGUAGAUUAGAUUCUUUCUUUUGCUAGUACUCAUCAGAAUUCUAUUCCACUUAAACCUGAGCUGGAUUAGAGAAUGAAUUACACUACCCAGCUUAAUAGAACAAGCCAUCAACAAAGAUUGUUCAUCAAUAUAAUGCCUAUAUACUAUGACUGAUCAGAUUUUGAAAAACUACGGUUAUUUACCUGCCCUAAAGUACGCAGCACAUUACACCAAUAAUGAUGAGGAACUUCUUUUCUUAUAAAAAGAAUUUCAGAUUUGAUUGAUUAAGAUAAGAGAUUUGUAAAUCAUUCUAAACUACAUAGAAAAUAAAUUAGGCGUGAGAGAUCCUUACAAGGCCCAUGACAGCAGAAACCACAAUCGCAGCCAAGGCACACUAAUACAGAGAAAAGCAAAUCAACAGUGAGUAGAUAUGUUUCAUGAUUGUGAAAGCAUAUAGGAAAGAGAUUACAUGGAAAAAACAAAAGAAGUAGUAAUAUUUAAUUAGUUCUUCGCUGCUACAAUUUCACAAUUAGUUCCUGCUAUGAAAUGAUGUUAACAGAGGAAUUCAAUUAGAUGUGACGAGGUAAACUAGCAACAUUGAACUAUGAAUUUGAGUAAAGAUAGCGGUAUUACUAAUCAAUCAUAUUAUUGCUUAUUCAAUAGAGAAAUAUUGUUAUUGAAAAUAUGGCCUCAAUAUGAUAGUAAUAGUAUGCAUGAAAAGUUCAUAACUAAUACUAUUGGAUAUGCAGUUUUAAAAGUUAUACCUAAGGUAUGUCACUAAAUAAUGGUGUCAUAAACAUAAGGGCACAACCAAUUAUAAUGCCCAUAGUGAUUCCAGAUAAUCCAGUCUAUGCGCCACUCUCAUGAUUUACAGCUGACCUGGAAAAUGAACCUGCAUAAAAAAUAGUGAGACUCCAUCUCACUAACUCACGCUAGCUCAAACCUAGGCUUAACUAUUUUUAUCUGGAAAUGCAAAGAAUAAAAAGUAAACAUUAGUCAGACCUUGUAAUAUACACAGGAUGAGUAUCUUACCAUUCAAACACAUAGAUUCGUGUAGAGGAACAAUCACAGGUACCAAACAAUAUCAUCAUCGCGCAUGAAUGACUUGACAAAAAAAUUAUUCUUCAACUAGCUUAACAUUACUAAAUGAAUGAUUCAAUCCUCAUGGUCUCACAGGUUACAAUGUCAAGAAAUUUCAGAAGUAGCAAUAAAUCAUUAAGCGAUAAUUUCACAAACAAUUAUUCAAAAUAUAAAUUUGCAAAACAAAUAGCUUUUUCUAAAUGUGUCAUAAUUGAGAUAAGUACCACGAAUUUUCAGCAAAAUAAUUCAAAAAUUAAUUCCAAACCCAUUCAAAAACCGAACAAAAAAUCUAAAAAAACCAAUAGAAUCGGCAAAGGAGCAAAGGGCCUUAUCCUCCCACGCCGCAAUGAAAGCUGUAGUAGCAGACAACGAUGAGGUGAAUAUUCCGGCGAGCGACAGUGAAGGCGGAUGUAACACACUGGACCUGUGCAAAUUGCGAGGUUCGAGUGAUUGGAUGUGUUUUGAGCUUUUCCACGCUUUGUGGAGGAUCAUAGAAGGUGUUCCGACCUAAAAAGUUUGAAUCUUGGAAUUUCUGCUAAGUCCUGAGAGUUUUACUCUCGGGGACCGAUCCCUGCAGGGAAAGACCGGUCCCCCGGCGAGGCAACCGGUCCCUGGCGGAUGAGACUAGUCCCCGAGCGCGUUUUCGCGGGGAGAGACCGGUUCCAUGCGGGGAGAGACCGGUUCCCGAGAACAAGUUUUGUGGGAUGGACCUGAGAGAUCGGUCCCAAGCAGGGAGAGACCGGUCCCUCUGGGCGAAAUCUGCCCAGUCCGGGCUUUGCACAGGUUGCAAAGUUGAGGACUUUUCUGGAUUUUGUUACACUAGAGGGCCUAUAUGGCCAUUUCACUUCCCUUUCUCCCUUAUUUCACCCUCCCACUUGCUUUUAGAGAGAGAAGGAGAAGAAGGAGGAGAAGGAAGGAGAAGGAGAGCUUGUUUGAGGACUUGGAGCUUCACCCUCACCCUCUUUUCUUCCAUUUGAUGGUUUGGAGCUUGCUUUUGGAGCUUCGUGGUGGAUCAAUUUUCAACACUAGAGGAUUUUGAGCUUGGUUUGGAGCUUCCUAGAGGUUAGUUGCUUGUUCCUCCCUUCUAGACCUAGUUUUGGUGGAUUUUGGAAGAUGAAACCCUAGAAUGGAAAACCUAGGUUUUAUUUGGGGCUUUUUGAUUAGAGGCUUUUUGAGCUAAUCUAAUUGGAUUAGAACCUUAGUUUAGGUUGCUUUGGAAGGGAUCUAGCUUUCAUUUGAGCUUUGGAAAGGAAUUUCUACACUAUAGGUGAGAUUUGGCCCUUUUGCUUAGUAGGUUAAUGUUUGAGCUUGUAGUUGAUCGGAAGGUUCGUUUAACCUUUGUUCUUGUGCCUCUAGGGUACUAAGAGGCUAGCGGACACCUUCGUCGGAGCUUACGAAGGGUUGCGCAAGUUUCGGUGGGUUUGACCUAGCUUACAAUAUGAGAGAUGCUCAUAUUUUGUGAUUUAUGCUUCGUAAAGUAGAAAUUCAUGCAUUUUCAUACUAAAUGUAUUUAUUGUGAAUUUUAGAAUGCUUAACAUCCCUAUGUCAUGUAUAAUAAAUUUUCGGACCUCUAUGUAGUAGAGAGUUGCAUGUGAGGCUUAUACUAGCAUUUGGCAUUCUAAUGUUGGACUUGGGACCAUGUUUCUUACAAUGAAAAUGAGUAUUGUUUAGUACUCUUAAACCUAUACAUUUUAGAGACAUGAGAGAUAGCUAAUGCCAUAAAGAGGCAUCGGACUAGACCGUUAUGGAAAAAUUUGGAGCUAAUGUCAUAAAGUGGCAUUGAGCUCGGGUUAUGUGUGAACCUAGUACUAGUGUCAUGAUUGGAACAUAGAAUAUGAAAUGUGCUUAACUUAUAGCAAUGCUUAAGUGUCAUAAAGAGGCACUACGCAAGGUGAGUGUUGGGACAUCAUAUUGGAACAUAGAACUAGACCGUUGGGUGACUAGUGACUAUUACCAAGUUAGAGACAUGAUGAUUGAUUACUUGAGACGAUGACUUUGCUUGCUUGCCAUUUGUGCUCAUUCGCACAUACUUGUCGCUCCCUACAAGCCGGCACUCCGGAAUUGGCCUACGCGACUUAUGUUCGCUCGUGCGGUAUCAAGAAACCUACGGGGUCGGGAGGGAUAGACUCAUUUUCAGAGUGAAAAUGCUGGAGCUACCACCGACACUUAGGCGGCGCAAGCCGGACUACACUCGUGUAGCUCCUAAAACAAGAUUGAGCUUGGACAUAAACUCUUAAACAUAAAUCACUACUAGAUGAAUCAUAGUAGUUGGAUUACUUGGCAUAUUUAUAGUGUGGCUUUGAGAUUUUGGGACAUGUAGUAUACUUGAUAGAAUUGCUUUGCAUCUUAGUAUACUUGGCAGUUAUGAUGAACAUUUCCCCUUGUAUUGGCAUAUUCAAUCAUGAUAGCAUUGAUACACAUCAUUUUUACAUGUAGCAUAGUAGCAUAGCAUUUCAUACAUGCUUUCAAUUCAGCAGCUUAUUAUUGUCUAAUACUAUCGUUACUUACCCCUUUUCUUUGGGCCUAGUAGUGCAUUGUGCUGAGGUCAGUAAUUGCCCACUGGGAACUAUAAAUUAUAGUUCUCACGCCCUUUGUUUCUUGCUUUUAUUUCAGAGCCUUCUACUCCGGGCGAGGCUAGGGACCGAGGAAAGGGAAUCGCCACGAGCUAGCUUGUGAGCGAGGGACGUUCGAUAGGUGGUCCACCUCUUCUUUGUUUUCUUUUUGGGAGAGGAUGAGAGUUGUAUCUUGUAUAGAGACCACCCUUUUUGUAGUGCUUUUGUGACGACUCUUGUACUGACUUUAUCUUUUUCUUUAGCAGUUUACUUUCCCCUUUCUCUACUUGUUGUUAGUUGUUAGCUGUUAGUAGCUCUGAUAUCUCUAGUAACUUUAUUUCUUCUUGCUUCCAUAUCUCUUUUGUUGUAGAUGCCUUAUAUGUGCAGGCAUAUGGCGGGUCUGGGCAUGCACCGGGCGGGCCUAUGCCGGGUCCCGGGGCGUGACAGAUUAAUUUGGUAUCAGAGUCUAGGGUUGAGUCUUAGAGGACCUACUAAACCUUAGGCCGGUUGGACUAUAGGAAAUAGGCUCGUGAGAGACGAGGUCUAUUUGACUUGUAAGCGAAAGUAUUUCAAUUGGGUUUUAUGAUAACUCUAAAAAGUUAGAGUUGAUUGGAGUGUAUGACUUCUAACUUCGCGGAGGGUUACGUUGGCGGCCGACAACGUAAUAUCGGGACUUAGUGGUGAAGAACACUCCUUACUUUCGCAAGAUUUGGGUUUUGUCUACUUUGAGCGGGGAUGCGAUAGCGUGGGUUUUACUAACUUGCACUUUUAUGUUUGUAGUGGCGAUGCCGAUUACACGCUCCCAAUCUACCGGAGCGGAUGAUGCGGCACACCUCGAGGAGGUUGAGACCUCCGCUACUUCCGGAUCUAGCGAGGUCCGCGACUUGAGGUCCCAGCUUGCGGUCCUCACUGAUCUUGUAGCGCAGCAGGCGGCGGCGGCGUAACGACAGGCCGAGGUGGCACAGCGGCAGGAGGCGCGAAUGAAUCACCUGGAGGAUCUCUUGCUACAGCAGGCGGCAGCUUCUAGGGAGACUCAGGUUUCCACACCACCAGCGCCCGUUGUGAACGUUGCGCCGAGGGCGCAAUCCCCCGCGCCCAGUUCUUCGUGUGCCGCGGCCGAGACCGAACCUCGGGAGGAAGUGGUCACAGCACCACCGGUUCAGAUACCUGCGGCGAGGGCAGCUUUCCCUGUGAUAGCUGAGGGAGCCGAGCUGGAUCGGCUCAUGGAUCGCCUCAGUGAGUUCAGGAGGUGCGGUCCGAGGAUCUUUGACGGCGAGAAGGUCGACCACUAGAUUGUUGAGAAGUGGUUGAUGCAUAUGGAGAAGCUUUUUCGAGAUACCUUUGUUGAGGAAAGGGAUAGAGUUUGGCUCGCCACACAUCACUUGGACGGCGAGGCCUAUUGUUGGUGGUUGAAUAUCUAGGACAACCCUAACACUGAUUUGGUAGCAAUUUCUUGGACGAGCUUCAAGGAGCUUCUUCUGGCGCACUACUUCUCUACCAGCGUCAAGAGGAAGAUGGAGAAGGACUUGCGCAGCUUACGCCAGGAGGAGCGGACAGUGGCCGAGUACGAGAGGGAGUUUUCUUGGCUACUCCACUGUGUACCCUUCGUAGUGCGGGACGACGAGGACAAGGUUUGCAUUUUCGAGCAUGGAUUGCGGCCUUCGAUCUUUCGGUUGGUGCAGUCCUCCAACUUCCAAACCUACCGGGAGGUUGUGAACCGCGCCCUCAUCAUGGAGAGCAGCGCGGUGGAGCUUCAGGAGCAUCGCGAGGGCUUGGAGAAGGGGAAGGGCAAGAGGCCUGCGGCUGAGGGUGCGAGCCAGACGCAAUCGCAGAGGCCGCGGAGGCAUCCCAGGAGCCGGAGCUAGUCGCGAGGACGUGGCCAGUCUACUCAGCGAGGAGGACCCGAUCGUCGCCAGGCUCCGUGCUGCGUGAUUUGUGGUGGUCUUCAUUACCUACGACAGUGUUCACGCAGUCGGGGCAGGUGCUACCUGUGUGGCCAGGAGGGCCACUUCCAGUCGGACUGUCCGAGGGGUCCAUCGCCAGCGCCAUCGUCGGCAUCUGCACCAGCUUCACCGGGUCUCAGCCAGGGGACACCUUCUGUACACCAGCAGGCUUGGCGGCCACCUGUGCAGUGGCAGUUGGAGGAGUCACGGCAGCCCCGAGCGGGCGCAUGUACGUGGCCCGGACGGAGGAGGCGGCAGCGGCUGAGAAUGUGGUUGCGGGUAUCAUUUUACUUUAUGGUAUUCGAGUACGUGCAUUAUUUGAUACCUGUGCAUGGCAUUCAUUCUUAGACCGGCUAUUUGCCGAGUUGCAUGGCAUCCCACUCGUUUCUUUGUUGCACCCGGGACGUGUAGUUGUUCCUGACCACUCCUUAAAUAUUAGAGAGAUUUAACCCAGUUGCCCUGUUCAGGUCGGAGAUUGGAUCAUACCCGCGGAUCUAUUUGCAUUGCGCAAACUAGAAGAGUUUGACGUGGUUUUGGGCAUGGAUUGGCUAAUCAAGUACUACGCCACUAUCGAUUGCAUGAAUCGAAUGGUGACGUUCAAAGAGCCGGGGCAGGCAGAGGUUGUGUAUUGAGGAUGCCGGAGUUCGCUGUUUGCGAUGACUAUUAGCUCCUCUCGAGUUAGGCAGUUGAUUAGCAGAGGCUGCAUAGCCUAUUUGGCUGCCAUUGCGUUGCAGGGCGAAGUCGACGCCCCUAGGAUUGAGGACAUCCCCGUCGUGCGGGAGUUUGGAGAUGUGUUUCCAGCAGAGCUACCAGGCAUGCCACUGGAUAGGGAGAUUGAGUUUGUGGUGGAUCUCGUCCCUAGGACUACUCUAAUCUCAAAGGCGCCCUAUAGGAUGACAUCGGCGGAAUUAAAGGAGCUGAAGGCACAGUUGCAAGAUCUUUUGGAUAAGGAUUUUGUGUGUGUCACCUUGGGGAGCACCGGUCUUGUUUGUCAGGAAGAAGGACGGGUCACUUCGCUUGUGUGUGGACUAUCAUGAACUUAAUAAAGUCACGAUCAAGAACAAGUACCCGUUACCGAGGAUCGACGAUCUGUUUGAUCAGCUUCAGGGAUCGAGUGUGUACUCUAAGAUCGACUUGCAGUCGGGGUACCACCAGUUGAAGAUUGCACCCGAUGAUGUAUCGAAGACGGCUUUUAGAACACGGUAUGGACAUUACUAGUUUACGAUUAUGCCGUUUGACCUCACUAACGCUCCGGCAGCUUUUAUGGAUUUAAUGAACCGUGUGUUUAAGCCUUAUUUAGACAGGUUCAUCGUAGUGUUCAUCGACGACAUUUUGGUCUGUCUCGAAGUGAUGCAGAUCAUGAGGAACACUUGAGACUUGUAUUUCAAGUGCUUCGGAAAAAAAACAUUUUGCCAAACUGAAGAAGUGUGAAUUUUAGCUUAGAGAGAUGGCGUUUUUGGGCCAUUUGAUUUUCGGAUCGGGUAUAGCCGUGGAUCCGAGGAAGAUUGAGGCUAUCAGGGAUUGGCUGAGGCUGACGAGUGUUACCGAGAUACGGAGUUUUAUUGGCUUUGGUCGGCUACUACCGACGGUUUGUCGAGGGAUUUGCAAAGCUAUCUACUCCCCUCACGAGGCUCAUGCAUAAAGGCACCAAGUUCAUUUGGAAUGAUGUGUGUGAGAAAAGCUUACAAGAGCUGAAGCGGAGAUUGACUACCACCCCGAUUCUAACCUUACCGAUUGCUGGAGCAUGGUAUGUGAUUUAUAGUAAUACUUCUUUUAAUGGAUUGGGCUGUGUUUUGAUGCAGGACGGGAAAGUGAUCGCGUAUGCAUCUCGCAAACUGAAGGAUUAUGAAAGGAAUUACCCUACUCACGACUUGGAGUUGGCGGCCGUGGUCUUCGCCUUGAAACUAUGGCGCCAUUAUUUGUACGGCGAGCGAUGCGAAGUAUAUCCAGAUCACAAGAACUUAAAGUAUCUAUUCACUCAAAAGGAGUUGAAUUUGAGGCAGCGCAGAUGGUUGGAGCUCCUCAAGAAUUAUGAUUUGACAAUCCUUUACCACCCGGGCAAGGUAACGUGGUGGCGGAUGCGCUAAGUAGGAAAUCGACGGAAAACUUAGCGAUGCUUGUUGCUACUCAACAGCUGUUGAUGGAGCAGAUGAAGCGGUUGGAGUUGGAGGUAGUGGCUCCUGAUACACCUUUGGGUUGAUGACUCUGCGGUGCAACCUACACUUUCGAAAAGGAUUAAAGAAAAACAAACUCACGAUGCGGAGUUGCAGAAGAUUAGAGAUAAAAUGAUUGGAGGUUGCACCGGUGAUUUCACUGAGGACGGUGAUGGAUUGAUGCAUUUUCGCGGACGGAUUUGUGUACCGACAGAAUCGGCACUUAGAGAAGAAAUUCUACAAUAAGCGCACCGAGUGCCGUAUGCUAUACAUCUAGGAGGCACCAAGAUGUAUAAGGACUUAAAGUUGCUCUAUUGGUGGCCCGGGAUGAAAAAGAAUGUUGGCGAGUUUGUUACUAGAUGUCUAACUUGCCAACAGGUUAAAGCUGAGCACCGAGUUCCCGCGGGAAAGUUGCAGAGCUUACCGAUUCCAGUGUGGAAAUGGGAGAAGAUCACCAUGGACUUCGUGACAGGAUUGCCCCGCUCACAGGCUGGGCAUGAUGCUAUUUGGGUGAUCGUGGAUAGGUUAAGGAAGUCGGCGCACUUCAUACCUAUUCAUACUAUUUGGAUCGGGGAGAAGCUCGCACAUGUGUACCCUGAUGAGAUUGUGCGACUUCACAGAGUGCCUACGUCGAUAGUAUCUGAUUGAGACACCCGGUUUGUGUCUCACUUUUGGAGAAGUCUACAAGACGCCCUAGGCACUCGACUGGAUUUCAGUACAGCUUUCCACCCUCAGAGUGACGAGCAGUCAGAGCGCACUAUACAGACUUUAGAGGAUAUAUUCCGGGCAUGUGUGAUAGACUUCCAGGGAGGAUGGUCGCAGCAUCUUCCGAUGGCAGAGUUUGCUUAUAACAACAGUUAUCAAGCAAGCAUCAAGAUGGCACCUUUCGAGACACUCUAUGGACGGAAGUGUAGAUCACCACUUCAUUGGAGUGAAGUUGGCGAGAGAUUGGCUUUAGGCCCAGAUGUGCUCCAGGAAGCUGAGGACAAGGUUCGAAUUGCUCGGGAGCGAUUUUUGAUGGCACAGAGUAGACAAAGGAGCUACGCCGAUUGACGACGGCGAGACUUGGAGUUCCAAGUUGGAGACCAUGUAUUCUUGAAGGUCUCGCCAACUAGACGGAUCAAGAGAUUUGGGAUUCGGGAAAAGUUGAGCCCCUGUUUUAUUGGACCGUAUGAGAUCUUGGAACGUAUAGGUCCGGUAGCAUAUCGACUUGCUCUACCACCGAACCUAUCGGGCGUGCACAACGUCUUUCACGUAUCGGUCCUUCGGAAGUAUGUCUUCGACCCGACUCAUGUGUUGGAUGCUACCCCGUUGGAGUUGCGGGACAAUUUGAGCUUCGAGGAGCAACCCAUGGAGAUCUUGGCUAGCAAGGUGAAGAAACUACGGAAUCGGGACAUUCCGUAUGUAAAGGUGCUUUGGAGAAACCACGGGGAACGGGAGGCCACGUGGGAGCUAGAGAGCGUGCUGCAGGAGCGCUAUCCCCAUCUUUUUCAGAUAGAGUCUUGAGGUAUGCAGUUGCUUUGAGUAUCGCGGACGAAACUCCUUUUUUAGGAGGGGUGAAUAUAACACACUGGACCGUGCAAAUUGUGAGGUCAGAGUGUAUAACACACUGGACCUUUGCAAUUUGCAAGGUUCGAGUGUUUGGACGGUGCCCUGAGUUUUUCCAGACUUUCUGGUGGGUCGUAGACAGUGUCCGACCUAAGGCUCGUGUCCCGAGAAUGGAGGUUUGAAGCUUAGCACCAAAACCCAAAAAAUCGGAUUUUUGGUUAGCUCUCGAGUAGCCUUCAUUGGGCUGUGUACCGGUACAGGGUUGAUGGCUGUACCGGUACAGGGUUGAUGGUUGUACCGGUACAGGAUCGUGUACCGGUACACAGGCAGCUUCCCAGCCAACCCGAGGCUCGGGUUUGGCUAUUUCGUGGGAUGUGUACUGGUACGUGGGCCCGUGUACCGGUACGCAGUGCAGAUUUCUGAGCAGUUCGAACUGCAGGGGUGUUUUUGCAUUGUGGCUUCUCUAUAUUACACCCACGCCCCUUGGAGUGUUCCCUAAGCUAGGGCACAGCCGGAAUAAGGUGAGGAGCCCUCUCCUUCCCCUCUCUUUUGUAUUCUUGCUUUUGGAUUAGAUUUUUUUGAGGGUUAAAUCCUUUCUUUCUCCCUCUUUUUGUUUCUUGGUGGUUUCUCCACCAUGGUUGAAGGUUGAGCUCGGGAUUGGAGCUUGUUGGAGGUGAGAUCUUGUUAUUUAGAGGACUUAGAGCUUGGAUUGAAGCUUCUAAAAGGUAAGCCACUUACUCUUUUCCUUAGAUUUGGUUUUUGUCGAUCUCUAUGAGAUGAAACCCUAGAUUGUGGAUUUAGGGUUUAUUUUUGGGGGUUUUGGACUUGGGGCUUUUUGAUCUAAAUCGAUGGGUUUUGAACUUUGGUUUAGGUUGGAUUUGAAGGGUUAUUACUCUCAUUUGGAGAUUGAGAGAGGAUUUCACCUCACAAUGUGAGUUUUGCCCCUUUUCUUGUAUUGGUUAAUGUUUAACCUAGGAGUUGUUCGUUCGGUUUGUGUGACUCUUCGUUUUGUACCCUUAGGGUCCUAGAAGAGUAGUGGAUACCUUCGUUGGAGCUUACGAAGGAUUUCGUGACGCCGUGGUGGGUUUGGCUUCUUUGAAAUGGGAGGAAAUUCCUCCUAUGUGGUUAAAUGCUUUCAUUUAUUAUAAAUUCAUGCAUAUUCAUGUUUAGUAGCAUUUAUGAGAAUUUUUGAAUGCUUAGAACUCAUAUGUUAUGCAUCAAAAAAAUUUACUCCAUAUAGUAGAGAGAUAUAUAUGCUUUGUUAAUAUGCAUGCGGUGAACAUUCUGUGAGAUGAUAUGAAAUCAAAUUUCUUGCUUCGAAUAUGACUAGAAUUACAAGUUCUUGAACUUAGUAUCCAUGUUGGGACAUAAUGAGCCAUAGUGUCAUGAAGAGGCACUUGGACUAGAAAAUUGUUAAACUGCAAUAUAGAGACUUGAUGAUAGGCCAUUUUGACAUCGACUAUAUUCCAUAUUUUAGAUAUGAUGAAAUAGUGACUUAGCCACGAUGACAUUAGCUACUUUCCAUGUAAGAGACAUGACGAUAUAGUAGCAGGCCUUUGGGGACAUGAGCUAUAUUCCGGGUUUUAGAUCUGAUGAAAUAGUAAUGACCUAUUGGGACCUGGGACACGACGGUUGAGGCAGGCCUUUGGGACAUGUGCUGUAUUCCGGGUUUUAGAUCCGACGCAACAGUGAUGGACCACUGGGACUUGAGGCAGACUUAUUCGCUUGCAUGCCACUGUGCUCUUUCGCACAUACUUGUGAGGGUCGCUCCCCAUAAGUCGACACUCCGGAGAUAGCCAUCGCGACACAAGCUCGCUCGUGCAGGAUUGGGCGCCAAAAUGAGUUGCCGUGGGGGAGGCUCAUUCCUAGGCUAGGGAUGUCGACUACCACAGGGCCAUUGUUGGCACGACGCAGGCCGGACUACCUACGGGUAGCUUCCACAGGGUUGGGUUACUAGUGACCAAUUAUACCUUUGGACAUUGACUAGAAUAGUAAACGUUGACACUUUACUGUUUAGCUUGUGGAUAUUAUGUUGGACUUACUCUCUAAAAUUAUGUCAUAGUAACUUCAUUACUUAUGCCAAGGUAUGCUAAGUAGAAUACAUGAGAUGGUUGCUUAUUACUUGUGCAAUUUCAUGCAAAGUAGAGAUCAUGUGAUAGGUUAUUACUUGUGCAAUUUCAUGCAAAAUAGAGAUCAUGUGAUAGGUUAUUACUUGUGCAAUUUCAUGCAAAGUAGAGAUCAUGUGAUAGAUGUGAUAGGUUAUUACUUGUGCAAUUUCAUGCAAAGUAGAGAUCAUGUGAUGGGUUAUUGUUUACGCUAUUUACAUACUUAUUGUAAUUAUCGUGUAUCUACUUACCCUUUUCACGCUUGGGCCUAGUGGCGCAUUUCACUGAAGUCAGUAAUUGCCCACUGGGAACUAUUAUUUAAUAGUUCUCACGCCCCCUGUUUUAUGGUUUUAUUUCAGAGCCUUCAGCACCGGUGGAGGCACGGGAUCGCGGCAAGAGGAUCGCCUAGCUAGCUAGUGGAGCCAGUUUUGCUCCUAGGUGGUCAUUCUCUCUUUUGGUUUUUGGUGAGAGAGAGUUUGUUACCAUGUAUAGAGACCACCAUUGUACUCCUCUUUGUACUUGUAUUUUGGGUUUCCUUUGUAUUAAGCUAUGUUUUAUUUUAGUAGAUUUCUAGCACUCUUUUACUAUUCCUUGUUGUAGAACCUAGUUACUUUUGCUCUGAUAUCGCUAGAGUUCUUUGUGGCAUAGUUGUAUUUAUUAAAAUUUUGGUAGACGCCUUAUAUGUUUUAGACGUAUGGCGGGUCUGGACACGUGCCGGGUAGGCUUCCGCUGAGCCCUGGGGCGUGAUAGAGUAAUUGGCUGUGUUCCGAGCUUUUUCACGCUUUGUGGAGGGUCGUAGAAGGUGUUCCAACCUAAAAAGUUCGAAUCCUGGAAUUUCUGCUAAGUCCUGAGAGUUUUACUCUCGGGGACCGGUCUCUGCGGGGAGAGACCGGUCCCUGGCGGAUGAGACCGGUCCUCGAGCGCAUUUUCGCGGGGAGAGACCGGUCCCAUGCGGGGAGAGAUCGGUUCUCGAGGGCAAGUUUUGCGGGAUGGACCUGAGAGACCGGUCCUAAGCAGGGAGAUACCGGUCCCUCUGGGCGAAAUUUGCCCAGUCCUGGCUUUGCAUAGGUUGCAAAGUUGAGGGACUUUUUUGAAUUUUGUUACACUAGAGGGCCUAUAUGGCCAUUUCACUACCCUUUCUCCCUCAUUUCACCCUCCCACUUGCUUUUAGAGAGAGAAGGAGAAGAAGAAGGAGCAGGAAGGAGAAGGAGAGCUUGUUUGAGGACUUGGAGCUUCACCCUCACCCUCUCUUCAUCCAUUUGGUGGUUUGGAGCUUGCUUUUGGAGCUUGGUGGUGGAUCAAUCUUCAAUACUAAAGGAUUUUGAGCUUGGUUUGGAGCUUCUUAGAGGUUAGUUGCUUGUUUCUCCCCUCUAUACCUAGUUUUGGUGGAUUUUGAGAGAUAAAAUCCUAGACUGGGAAACCUAGAGUUUAUUUGGAGCUUUUUGAUUAGAGACUUUUUGAGCUAAUCUAAUUAGAUUAGAAUCUUGAUUUAGGUUGCUUUGGAAGGGAUCUAGCUUCCAUUUGAGCUUUGGAAAGGGAUUUCUACACUAUAGGUGAGAUUUUGGUCCUUUUGCUUAGUAGGUUAAUGUUUGAGCUUGUAGUUGAUCGUAAGAUUCGUUUAACCUUUGUUCUUGUGCCUCUAGGGUACUAAUAGGCUAGCGGGCACAUUCGUCGGAGCUUACGAAGGGUUGCACAAGUUUCGGUGGGUUUGACCUAGCCUACAAUAUGAGAAAUGCUCAUAUUUGGUGAUUUAUGAUUCGUAAAGUGGAAAUUCAUGCAUUUUCAUACUAAAUGUAUUUAUUGUGAAUUUUAGAAUGCUUAACAUCCCUAUGUCAUGUAUAAUGAAUUUUCGGACCUCUAUGUAGUAGAGAGUUGCAUGUGAGGCUUAUACUAGCAUUUGGCAUUCUUAUGUUGGACUUGGGACCAUGUUUCUUACAAUAAAAAUGAGCAUUGUUUAGUACUCUUAAACCUAUGCAUUUUAGAGACAUGAGAGAUAGCUAAUGCCAUAAAGAGGCAUCGGACUAGACCGUUAUGGAAAAAUUUGGAGCUAAUGUCAUAAAGCGGCAUUGAGCUCGGGUUAUAUGUGAACUUAGUACUAGUGUCAUGAUUGGAAUAUAGAAUAUGAAAUGUGCUUAACUUAUAGCAAUGCUUAGCAAUUCGCGAAGGUCCAGUGUGUCACACCGUCCUUCGGGGCCACUAUCCCCGUGGUGACCUACUCCGGAGCGCACCGCUUGAGGGGGAGCUACCGCCCUCAAGCCAAGACUUAUCGUGAGUAUUGAUCCGAUUCCCAACUUGGGAACGUAUAGCCACUAGUCAUAAUGCCACUAUCAUAAUCGAUUUUCUACCUAUUUAUUCAUGCCACUUAUGGUUAAACUAUGUUUAACAAUCACUAUCUCAAUGCCAAUCUUGUCUCUAUAGUCAAUGUCACCCUUGUUUACAAAGAUCAAGGUCCAAGUCUCCUAUUCAUACAUCUCUAGGGUUCUAGCAUACAUGUCCAUUAUGGUUCUAUCAUUCUUUAUGUCCAACUACAUUAUAAGCACAUAAAUAAAGUUACACCAAAGUUCACAUGUAAGCAACCAUAAUAUGCAUGAACGACUAUAUACAAUAUGCUCAAAUGAAAAGUGACAUAGAUAUAGAAGGGAAUCCAACGAUUUCAGAAUGCACCCCCGACCACGCGUGGUCGUGUAGGUGUAGAAUGUGACGACUCCCGAACUUUAUGAAAGCCGAUUUCGCACCCUAUAACCAAAAUAGUGCUAUAUUAGGCCUUUUGUACAUGAACUAUACUCAAACAUUUUCGUAACUUCUAACGGAGUUGUCCAACGCGUUUGUUUGACCCCCAAUUAGAUUUCUACGAGGUCAAUUCGCCCUCGAAAAAUUUUAGGGCAAAAGUCCCAAAUUUGAGCCCUAACAAUGCCUUCUAGGGUUUCCUCUUAGAUUGACCUUGUUGCUAAGCAAAAGGUAGCUUAGAAUCAUCUAGGAAAUAUUCUAAUAAAGUUUCUAAGCUUUUAGAACAAUCCCUAGGGUAUCUACCAUGAGCCAUAGUGAUCCACCAUGAGAGCUCCCCAAGAAAACCAUGGAUUUCAUGGUUUCAGGUCAAUAGAGGGUUUCUAGGUUAAUUAGAGGAUCAAAACUCUAAAUCCCAAGGUUUAAAACCAAACCCUAGAGUUUUACAUACUAGAAAACUCACCUUAGCCCAAGUUCCACCAAGCUCCUCCUUGUUGGAGAGCUCCUAGACCCACUAAACCCACCAAAAAUUCACUUCCCAAGCUUCUCCUUCUUCUUCUCCAAGCUCUAGGGCUAGAUUUCUAGAGAGAGAAAGAGAGGAAAAUGAGAGAGAGAGGUGAAGAUGGCUGUGGGAGUGAAGGGCUAGGGCAUAUAUCAUGUUGUAACAUUUGCAACUAGGCCCUCCCAACUUCAAAAUUCUGUGUCAGCCCUUACUGGGCAAUUUUCGCAGUCGGGGACCAGUCUCCGCGACCAGGGACCGGUUCCCGAACGUUUGAUUUCAAGGACUUAGCCGAUUUUUGGGUUUUCUGGCUGGUUGCACAGCGAGGGGCCGGUCUGUCCUUCAGGGACCAGUUCCUCAUGGACCGGUCUCACUGCCAGGGACCGGUUGCCUCAAGGUUCCUGGCAGGCUACCCGUAUGGGGACCGGUCUCUCCUUCAGGGACCGGUCCCCGAGAGCACAAAAUCUGGGACUUAGCCAGAUUUUGGAAUUUCACUCUCUCGGGUCCCUAUAUAACACAUAUAUAGGCUCUAAUGCACUUAGGGCCUAUACAUACUCGUCCCACUCCGCGUUCCUGUAGUAUACUGAACUUUAGCAAAUUGCGAAGUUCGAGUAUGGGGAUGACAUUUAGAAUUACCCUACAUGUUCUAAAAGGUUUAGAGAUGUUUGUGGACGAGUUGGAGAGUCAUCGAACCCUCGGAAGUGAGAAAGUGCUUUGAAAUUGCGAAUUGUGCAUUUUUGCAUUGGUGUACCGGUACAACCCUCAGGCUGUACCGAUACAGAAAGCAGCAGAGGCAGCAGGUGCGUGGCAGUUUGGCUAUUUUGGUCUUUUUGCUGCUUGACCUUAUCUCUACAGGCCAGCUCGACCUCCAGCAGCUGGUUAGGGAUAUUUGAGCUUAGAGAUAAGGAUUUACACCUAUUUUUCACUUUCUCUCUCUAAAUUCUUCUAUUGAAGUGAUAAACUAGUACCUUAGACCUAGUUUCAUUUUCCCUUUUGAUGUUAGCAAGCUGGGAGGGCUUUGGACCUGUGGUAGAGGGAAGGAAAAGGUGUUCUGGAGAAUGCUUUGCAGCCUGAGCACAACCGUGACUGGUUUGAUACAUCAGAAAGGUGAGCUAAUUAACUCUUCAUUGGAUUAAGGCUCUAAGAGGAAAGUUGAGCUUGAUUGUGGAACUUUUUGUUCUCAGCUGGUUGAGGAAGGAAAUUGGUAGUUGUAGCAGGGUAUUUAUGAUACCCUUAAUCAGUUGGAGCUAAGCUAUUAACCUUAGAAGGUAAUUAUCCAAUUCCUUUCUUGUUUGGACAAGUUAGUAGGGUUACUAAUGCAGUUUUGGAAGCUGUUUAGCAGCAGAGUUGCCGCAGGAACCUUAACUCCUGCACUUGAAUUUUGAGGGUUCUUGUAAUACACUGACUCUAGCAAAUUGCGGAGUCCGAGUGUGUGGAAUGAGUUGUGGAACUAUCCUACAUGUUCUAAAUGACUUGGACAAGUUUUUGAACAAGUUUGAGAGUGAUUGGAGGGUUAAAUGUGAGAAAUUGCAUCAACUGGCGAAAAUCAGCCUUUUUCUGCUUGCUGUACCGGUACAGCCAUCACCUUGUACCGGUACANAUGGCAGAGUUUGCUUAUAACAGCAGUUAUCAAGCAAGCAUCAAGAUUGCACCGUUCGAGGCACUCUAUGGACGCAAGUGUUGAUCGCCACUUCAUUGGAGUGAAGUUGGCGAGAGAUUGGCUUUAGGUCCUGAUGUGCUCCAUGAAGCUGAGGACAAGGUUCGCAUCGCUCGGGAGCGGUUAUUGACGGCCCAGAGUAGGCAGAGGAGUUAUGCUGACAGGCGGCGACGAGACUUGGAGUUUCAGGUUGGAGAUCACGUCUUCUUGAAAGUCUCGCUGACUCGAGGAAUUAGACGAUUUGGAAUCCGGGGCAAGUUGAGCCGCCGAUUCAUUGGACCGUUUGAGGUUUUGGAGCGGAUAGGCCCGGUAGCGUAUAGACUUACCCUACCGCCGAACCUAUCGGGUGUGCACAAUGUAUUCCAUGUAUCGGUCCUUCGGAAGUACAUCCACGACCCGGCUAAUGUAUUGGAUGCUACACCUAUGGAGCUGCAGGAGGAUUUGAGCUUUGAGGAGCAACCCUUGAGAAUUUUGGCUCGCGAGGUGAAAAGAUUGCGGAACCGGAAAAUUCCCUACGUGAAGGUGCUUUGGAGCAACCACGACGAGCGCGAGGCCACUUGGGAGUUAGAGAGCGCACUGCGGGAGCGCUAUCCCCAUCUUUUUCAGAUGGAGGCUUGAGGUACUUUGUUUGUUUUGAGUUUCGCGGACGAAACUCCUUUUUAGGAGGGGUGAAUGUAACACACUGGACCUUUGCAAAUUGCGAGGUUCAAGUGUUUGGCUGUGUUCUGAGUUUUUCCAAACUUUCUGGUGGGUCGUUGACUAUGUUCCGACCUAUGGCACGUGUCCUGAGACUUGUGGUACAAAGCCUUGCACCAAAACCCGAAAAAACGGAAUUUAGCUGACUCUCGGAUUGAGUUCUGGCAAGCUUGUACCGGUACAAGGCUGUGCUUGUACCGGUACAAGGUUGAUGGUUGUAUCGGUACAGCCAUCGGAGCUUGUACCGAUACAGAGCCGCAGAACCCAGCAACCCGAGCCUCGGGUUUGGAUUUCGUGGACCUUGUACCGGUACAAGGGCCCGUGUACCGGUACAAGGCGGCAGAUUUUGUGCAGUUCGAAACUGCAAGGGCUUUUUCGCGAUUGUAGCCUCUCUAUAACAGCACCCUCGCCCCUUAAGGCUUUUCUUGUGCUGGAACCACAGGGAAACAAGGUAAGGAGCCCAUCCAUUCCCUCAUUUUGAUUUUCCUUGGUUAUAUUGGAGAUUUUUGAGGAUUAAUGCCUCAUUUUGCUUCUUGUUGCAUUUUGGAGGCUUUUUCCCACCAUUGGAGAGGACUUGGAGCUUUGUUGGAGGCUUGUUGGAGGAAAGAUCUUCCACCCUAUUUGAUUUGGAGCCCAAGUUGAGACUUCUAGAGAGGUUAACAACAUGAUUUGAGCUUUUGAUCCAUGUUUUGCUAAGUUUUUGAGAUGAAAUCCUAGAUUUGAUACUUAGGGCUUAUUUUGGGUAUUUUGAUUCUAGGGCUUUUGGGGCUAAAUUAGUUGGUUUAGAACCUUCCUUGGGCUUGGAUUGGAAGGGCUUUAGCUCUCUUUUGGAGCUUAGGAGAGGAUUUCUACUCUUGAGGUGAGUUUUGGCCCUUUUUGCUUCUAGGUUAAUGUUUGAUAUUUUAAGAUGAUCGUAAUGCCCGUGUAUCUUGUCGCUCAAUACUUUUAGGGUAUUUUGAGACUCGGGGACAACUUUGUUCGGCGAAACGAGGCCCUACGCGACGGUUCCGUAGGUUUGACCUAGGCUACCUAUGAGAAAUCCUCAUAUAUGGUUAUAAAUGUUCCGUAAAUUGGAAAAGCAUGCAUAUUCAUCCUAAUUGUAUUUAUUAUGAUUUUUAGAAUGCUUAAAAUGCAUAUGUUAUAUAUGAUGAAAUUUUGGACUUCUAUGUAGUAGAGAGUUGCUUGGGAGAUCUUUGGUUGCAUUUAGCAUUCGUUAUGAGACUUGGUUUCAUGCUUCUAUAGUAUAAAUGAGUUCGGAUUCAUGCGUUCAAACUUGAGUUUACUUGUGACAUGAAAGAUGACAAGAUUGCUAAUUAGAAGGUAUGUGAACUAGAGAGCUAAUGUCAUCAAGCGGCAUUGAGCUCGGGACAUGUGAGAACCUAGUGGAUAGGGCCAUCGAGGAACAUGCUUAAACAUUAAAUGUCUAAGUGUCAUAAAGGGGCACUAGACCUAGAGAAUGUUGGAACUUCAUUUGUGACUUAGAACUAGAUCUUCGAGAUGCUAGUGACUAUACCAUGUUAGAGACAUGAGGGUUGGAUACUUGAGNNNNNNNNNNNNNNNNNNNNNNNNNNNNNNNNNNNNNNNNNNNNNNNNNNNNNNNNNNNNNNNNNNNNNNNNNNNNNNNNNNNNNNNNNNNNNNNNNNNNNNNNNNNNNNNNNNNNNNNNNNNNNNNNNNNNNNNNNNNNNNNNNNNNNNNNNNNNNNNNNNNNNNNNNNNNNNNNNNNNNNNNNNNNNNNNNNNNNNNNNNNNNNNNNNNNNNNNNNNNNNNNNNNNNNNNNNNNNNNNNNNNNNNNNNNNNNNNNNNNNNNNNNNNNNNNNNNNNNNNNNNNNNNNNNNNNNNNNNNNNNNNNNNNNNNNNNNNNNNNNNNNNNNNNNNNNNNNNNNNNNNNNNNNNNNNNNNNNNNNNNNNNNNNNNNNNNNNNNNNNNNNNNNNNNNNNNNNNNNNNNNNNNNNNNNNNNNNNNNNNNNNNNNNNNNNNNNNNNNNNNNNNNNNNNNNNNNNNNNNNNNNNNNNNNNNNNNNNNNNNNNNNNNNNNNNNNNNNNNNNNNNNNNNNNNNNNNNNNNNNNNNNNNNNNNNNNNNNNNNNNNNNNNNNNNNNNNNNNNNNNNNNNNNNNNNNNNNNNNNNNNNNNNNNNNNNNNNNNNNNNNNNNNNNNNNNNNNNNNNNNNNNNNNNNNNNNNNNNNNNNNNNNNNNNNNNNNNNNNNNNNNNNNNNNNNNNNNNNNNNNNNNNNNNNNNNNNNNNNNNNNNNNNNNNNNNNNNNNNNNNNNNNNNNNNNNNNNNNNNNNNNNNNNNNNNNNNNNNNNNNNNNNNNNNNNNNNNNNNNNNNNNNNNNNNNNNNNNNNNNNNNNNNNNNNNNNNNNNNNNNNNNNNNNNNNNNNNNNNNNNNNNNNNNNNNNNNNNNNNNNNNNNNNNNNNNNNNNNNNNNNNNNNNNNNNNNNNNNNNNNNNNNNNNNNNNNNNNNNNNNNNNNNNNNNNNNNNNNNNNNNNNNNNNNNNNNNNNNNNNNNNNNNNNNNNNNNNNNNNNNNNNNNNNNNNNNNNNNNNNNNNNNNNNNNNNNNNNNNNNNNNNNNNNNNNNNNNNNNNNNNNNNNNNNNNNNNNNNNNNNNNNNNNNNNNNNNNNNNNNNNNNNNNNNNNNNNNNNNNNNNNNNNNNNNNNNNNNNNNNNNNNNNNNNNNNNNNNNNNNNNNNNNNNNNNNNNNNNNNNNNNNNNNNNNNNNNNNNNNNNNNNNNNNNNNNNNNNNNNNNNNNNNNNNNNNNNNNNNNNNNNNNNNNNNNNNNNNNNNNNNNNNNNNNNNNNNNNNNNNNNNNNNNNNNNNNNNNNNNNNNNNNNNNNNNNNNNNNNNNNNNNNNNNNNNNNNNNNNNNNNNNNNNNNNNNNNNNNNNNNNNNNNNNNNNNNNNNNNNNNNNNNNNNNNNNNNNNNNNNNNNNNNNNNNNNNNNNNNNNNNNNNNNNNNNNNNNNNNNNNNNNNNNNNNNNNNNNNNNNNNNNNNNNNNNNNNNNNNNNNNNNNNNNNNNNNNNNNNNNNNNNNNNNNNNNNNNNNNNNNNNNNNNNNNNNNNNNNNNNNNNNNNNNNNNNNNNNNNNNNNNNNNNNNNNNNNNNNNNNNNNNNNNNNNNNNNNNNNNNNNNNNNNNNNNNNNNNNNNNNNNNNNNNNNNNNNNNNNNNNNNNNNNNNNNNNNNNNNNNNNNNNNNNNNNNNNNNNNNNNNNNNNNNNNNNNNNNNNNNNNNNNNNNNNNNNNNNNNNNNNNNGCACCGGCGGAGGCACGGGAUCGCGGCAAGGGGAUCGCUUAGCUAGCUAGCGAGGAGCGGUUCUUUGCCUAGGUGGUUUGCUCUUUCUUUUUGUAGUUGGGAGAGUAAGAGAUUUCUGUAUACAUGUAUAGAGACCACCUAUAUACCUACUUUUAGCACUUGCAAUUGGGAUUUCCUAUUGUAUUUACUUUAUGCCUUAUUUAGUGGAUUUACAGUUUAUCCUUAUCCUUGGUUGUAGCAUUUAGACAUUUAUUAUGCUCUGAUACUUCUAGAUGUCUUUUAUUAUUGCUUUCAUUAUUGUUGUUUUAGACGCCUUAUACGUUUUAGACGUAUGGCGGGUCUGGGCACGUGUCGGGCAGGCUUCCGCUGGGUCCCGGGGCGUGACAGUCGCAUUGCGCGCAGCAGCUCUGGCUGCGCUGGGAGAGCUCUCGGAGACUGGUCCCUAGUCGGGGAGACCGGUCCCCGAGCCCGAAAUCUGCCCAGUCCAGGCAGUUGAAUAAGAUGAAAGUUGAGGGGUUUAUUUGCAUUUUGGCAACCCAAUAGUUAUGUAUUGGGGCCUAAUGAGAUUUUCUCUCAUUUUUACCCUCUCAUCCCCUCUCAUCUCUCUUUCUCUCUCUAGAAGGCAAAGAAGGAGAAGAAGAAGAGAAGGAAAAGAAGGAAAAGAAGAGGAAGAAAAUAGAGAAGAAGAAUAGGAAGUGAAGAAACUCCCUCUCCCUCAUCUCUAGCUUGGAAAGAGAAAGCUUACAAGGUAAGCUUUGAACCCUAAUCAUGCUAAAACCCUAAACUGGGGGCUAUGUGACCUAGAAAUGGUUUUUAUAGAGCAUUUUGAGUUUUUGAAACUUUUCUUUUGCUUCUUUAGAGGUCAAAACCAUGAAAUGGGGGUAAUGGGUAAAGCUUGAAGGUGAGCUUGACCCCUCUCAUGGUAGAAUCCAAACUAUGGUUUGGAUUGAAUUAAAGAUGGUUUAGAUGGACUAUUUAGAGUAUAAUGAAGCUACUUUUGCUUCCCAAUGAGAUCAAACCCUAGGUUUGAUGUAUGCUAUGGAGCUAGAGCACCCAAAUUGGAGCUUUUGCUCAUGAGGGUUCCUAAGUGAAAUUGACCCUCUAAAAACCUAAUUGGGGGUAUUUCCGACUUGUUGAUGCGCUCGGAAUAGCAUUACGAAAAGUGUAUGUAAAGUUAUGGCCAAAUAAGCCUAAUUUGGCUUCGUUAUACCGCAGGUAGUGAACCGGGUAUCUAAAAAUCCCAAGAAAAUCGUCGGAGCACCUUUGGAAGCCUACGAGGUGGGUGGUGCUUCUCAAACUCCUUGAACUUCUCUCUAUGCCUAAUGUGUCAUUCAUUUGAGCAUAUGUAUAUACAUNUUCGAGACAGAUAUUGUACUACUUAUGACUCCUUUUAUUGUCUAGCUUUACUUCUUUACUUUGGUGUAGAUGUUAGAACUAUACUCGCUCUGAUAUCAUUAGUUGCUAGUUAUUUCACUUCUGCUAUUUGUCCUACUACUUGCUUUUACUUCCGCUUUUAGUAUAGACGCCUUAUAUGUGUAGACAUAUGGCGGGUCUGGGCACGCUACCAGGAGGGCCUCCGCCGGUCCCGGGGCGUGACACCGGGUAUGCUUCCACCGAUACCCGGGCGUGACAGAUUAUAGUGGUAUCAGAGCCUAGAGUUAAGUCUUAUUGGACCUAGCGAACCUUAGGCUGGUUGGACUAUAAGAAUAGGCUCGUGAGAGACGAGGUCUAGUUUAGUUUUUAGCGAAAGUACUUUGAUUGGGUAAUUUAUAAACUCCGAAUGGUAGGAGUUGAUUGAAAUAUGCAAUUUCUAACUUUGCGGAGAGCCACGUUGGCGGCCGACAAUGUGACAUCGGAAGUUAGUAUGUUUUACAUUUCAUUACUUUCGCUUGAUUGGGUGGUUAAUAUAAUGAGUAGGGGUUCAAUAGUGUAAGUUCUAUUAAUUUAUGUUUAUUUUUGCUGCAGCUUAAGAUGCCUACUACUCGUUCUAUGGCUACUGGAGCAGCCAAGGCAGCUGAUGCAGAGGAAGUGGAGACCUCCGUUACUUCCGGAUCUAGUGAGGUCCGUGAGUUGCAGGAUCAGCUUGCAGUAUUGACGGAUCUAGUGACACAGCAGGCUGCAGCAGCUCGACAACAGAUGGAUGCCGCGCGCCGACAGGAGGAAAGAAUGAAGAGGUUAGAGGAUUUGCUACUGCGACAGACAACUGAUAGAGAGGGCCCGAGUUCGGUGCCAACAGUACCUGAGAGGGACACGAUUGCGAGGGUACAGUCACCAGCACCAGAUACUUCACCGGCAGCCCCGCGCGCUGAGCACCAACCGGGGACCGUAGUACCACCCCUAGUGCCUGUGGCUGCGACAGGGACAGUGUUACCAGAGAUGGUAGGGGCUGAGGAGUAAGAGCAGAUGAUGGAGCGAUUGAAUGAAUUUCGCCGUUGCAAUCCUCGUGUAUUCGACGGCGAAAAAGGUGAUCAUUGGGUAGUUGAGAAGUGGCUAAUGCACAUGGAAAAGUUAUUUUACGAUACCUUUGUAGAGGAGCGAGACCGAGUCUGGUUUGCGACACACCAUAUGGAUGGCGAGGCCUAUAGGUGGUGGUUAGACAUUCGUGAGGAUCCCUGUACUGAUCUAUCUGCGAUCACUUGAAGAGAUUUAAGGAAUUAUUGUUGACAACCUACUUCCCGCAAAGUGUAAAGAGACAAAUGGAGAGGGAUCUGAGAAAUUUGAGGCAGGAGGAUAGGACAGUGGUUGAGUAUGAGCGAGAGUUUUCUCGACUACUAUAUUGUGUUCCUUUCGUGGUCAAGGAUGACGAGGAUAAGGCCCGUAUCUUUGAGGUGGGUUUGCGACCUGCGAUUUUCAGGUUGGUCCAGGCGUCAAACCUAUCGACUUACAAGGAGGUAGUAAAUCGGGCACUGAUUGUUGAGAAGGGGGCAGAGAUUGUGAAGGAAAGGAAAAUUGUGGAUCGAAAUAAAGGAAAGAGGCCAGGGGUGGAGAGUCGUGGUCAGCAAUCGUUCAGGGGACCGCCAAAGUAUCCGAGAGGCCAGCCAAGUCAGUCGAGGGGACGAGGUUCUUUUGCACCCCGUAGAGCACCUAAGCGUCAUCGACAGUCGCGUUGUGUGAUUUGUAGUGGUCCUCAUUUUCCACCGCAAUGCCCACAACAUGGGGGCAAGUGCUUUCUUUGUGGUCAGGAGGGCCACUUUCGGUCUGAGUGCCCGAGGGCUUCGUCACACGCACCAUCGUCAGCAUCAGCACCUGCAUCUUCAGCUCCGAGUCAGGGGACUCCGUCAGCACAGUACCAAUCGAGACGACCACCCGAACAGCGGCAGUCAGAGAGUUCUCGACAGGGUUCAAGUGGGCAUAUGUAUGCCGCCCAGACUGAGGAGGCCGCGGCAGCAGAAGAGGUUGUAGCAAGUGUUAUUUUGAUUCGUGAUGUUCAUGUUCGUGCAUUAUUCGAUACUGGCGCAUCGCAUUCUUUUAUCGAUCGGCUAUUUGCCGAGUUGCAUAGCAUUUAGUUAGUACCUACUUUGCAUCCGAGACGAGUAAUCAUGCCCGACCAUACCCUGGAUAUUCAUGAGUAUUGCCCUCGCUGCCCAGUUCGGGUAGGUGAUUGGAUUAUGCCAGUGAACUUAUUAGCACUACACAAACUAGGUGAGUUUGAUGUAGUUUUAGGUAUGGACUGGUUGACACAAUACUAUGCUAUUAUAGAUUGCACAAAUCGAACGUUGACCUUUAAGGAACCAUGUCAGCAGGAAGUGGUGUACAGGGGAUGCCAGAGUUCAUUGUUCGCAAUGACAAUUAGUUCUUCGCGAGCACGACAAUUGAUACGGAGGGGUUGCGUGGCCUAUUUGGCUAAUAUCUCUGUCAGUAACGGAGGAGUUACUAGUAUUGAUGAUAUCUCGGUAGUACGGGAAUUUCGUGAUGUGUUUCCAGCUGAAUUACCUGGAAUGCCGCCUAAUAGGGAAGUUGAGUUUGUGAUAGAUCUUGUUCCUGGGACUGCCCCAAUCUCAAAAGCACCCUAUAGGAUGGCACCUGUUGAGUUGAAAGAGCUGAAGGCACAGUUACAGGAUCUUUUGGAUAAAGGUUUUAUUCGACUGAGUGUAUCACCCUGGGGAGCACCGGUGUUAUUCGUUAAGAAGAAAGAUGGAUCCUUUCAAUUGUGCAUGGAUUAUCGGGAAAUUAACAAAGUCACAACCAAGAAUAAGUAUCUACUACCACGAAUUGACGAUUUAUUUGACCAGCUCCAAGGAUCGCAAGUGUACUCCAAGAUUGAUUUACAAUUUGGAUAUCAUCAGUUGAAGAUCAAGCCCAAAGAUGUAUCUAAGACUGCUUUCAGAACAUGGUAUGGUCAUUAUGAAUUCACAGUUAUGCCAUUUGGAUUGACUAAUGCCCCGGCAGCUUUUAUGAAUUUAAUGAAAUGUGUUUUAAGCCCUAUUUGGACAAGUUUGUGGUCGUAUUCAUCGACGAUAUCUUGAUCUAUUCCCAAAGUGACGAGGAGCAUGAAAACCAUUUAAGACUGGUGUUGCAAAUACUUCGAGAAAAGAAACUAUUUGCAAUGUUAACAAAAAAAAAAAGCAAAUUUUGGCUUCGAGAAGUAGCAUUUCUGGGACAUGUAAUUUCAGAAGUCGGGAUAGCUGUGGAUCCAAAGAAGAUUGAAGCAAUUAAGAAUUGGCCUAGGCCGACCAGCAUUACAGAGAUUCGGAGUUACCUUGGUUUGACAGGAUACUACCGAAAGUUUGUAGAAGGAUUUGCGAAGAUGUCAACUCGUCUCACUCGACUCACACAUAAAGGGGCGAAGUUUAUAUGGAAUGAGGUCUGUGAAAUUCGACCUCUUAGAAAUGUUAAUGUGAUAGAAUUACGUAGGAUUUGAAGUGGAGUGCUCCUAGCUAAUCAUGUAUUGAUUACUAGGGCUUUCGGAGAAUUGUGAAGAUCCAUACCCAUAGGUCGAACGUGAAUCGUCGGUUAAUAGGUGGGUUUGACCUCACCAGAGUAAGUGAAUUCCCCUAUGUUCUAUAUGUUACUAUAGGACUAUUAAUUAUAUGCAAUUGAAUUACUUUGGCGGUUUUAUUUGAAGGCAUUGACAAUCAACUCAACUUAAUAUUUAACAGUGAGUGAUUUUGUUAUGUUUUAAUAAAGUAGAGAACAAAUUAUUCGAUUGUGACCUGACCAGUGUUGUAUUAUUAAAAGACAAGUUUACCUUGCGAAUAACACAUGUAAAUUAGCAUCUUUAUUAUGUGGUUAUUGAUCUAGUGGAUACUAGCAUUUCUUAUUGUACAGAGAAUCCGACCUAUUGGCCGAGAGUAAAAAACUUACAUACUUGAUAUAUGAUGAUUGAAGCGGUUGGACUAUGAUUUAUGCUUGCUUGCCAUUGUGCUCAUUCGCACAAGCUUGUGAGGGUCGCGCCUUACAAGCCAACACUCCGGAGUUGGCCUACGCGACAGACUGCUUGCCCAUGCGGGAUUGGGUGCCGAAGUCGAUUGCCGUGGGGAGUGCAUACUACCACGGGGCCAUUAGGCGCGGCGCAAGCUGGACUACCUGGUGUAGGUCCUUAUGAAUUGAACCAAGUUACUAAAAGAUAGUAAUAAAUAAUUACUAUUAUACAGUGUACAGCUACCUUUAAUACGACAUGUUCAAGCUUUAAGUAAUUACUUUACUUGUUUCUACUUGUUUGACAUAGUUGAUAGCAUCAUACAUGUUCAUCGUUAUUUGUUGUUGAAUUAUCUCGCACACAAUAAAUGUUUUUACAUUUAUAAUAGUACAUCAUGAGCCUAGUGGUGUAACUCGCCAAGGCUGGCGGCUUACCCACUGGGAACUAUUGUUUAAUAGUUCUCACGCCCUUUUUAUUAUUGUUUUUACAGAGCCACCUACUACAGGAGAGGCUAGGGAUCGUGGCAAGGGAGUCGCGUCUAGCUAGAUAUAGCUUGGAGCUUGACUAGAUGAUCAUCUUGCUACUCGGGCUACGACCGAGGGUUAUGUACCCGUGUACAGAAAAACUACCAUUGUACAUAUAUUUUGAGUGACCUUGUGAUGUAUUUACGGUUUGUACCUGGGAUGACAGUUUUGGUGUUUCUCUGUGGAAUAGAAGAAUUCGGGACUGUACAGACUUGCACUUUCUUCUGAUAGUGGUAUUAUUGAUUUGUACUUUGCUCUGAUCAUCUUCACUUGUUUAAUAUGAUUUUAUAAACGUCUUAUAUACUACAGGUAUAUGACGGGUCUAUACAUGUACCAGGUAUGCUUCCGCUGAUACCCGGACGUGACAGUUCCGCUCAUUCCGACGGAACUCGGCACGAUUUACGCGGAAUGUGGUAUGUUACAUUCUCCACCCCCUAAAUUUAGUUUCGUCCGCGAAACUACUUAUCUACUAAUCGAGAUUCACCUCAACGCAGUUCCUCGAAGAGAUCAGGGUAACGCUCCUUCAUCACGUCCUCAAGCUCCCAAGUCUCUUCUCGGUCGCCGUGCUCGCACCAAUGAAUUUUAACAUACGGGAUUUCGCGGUUCCGUAGUUUCCUCACUUCUCGAUCGACGAUAUAAGCCAGGGACUCCUCAUAAGUCAUGUCCUCUUGAAGCUCCAUCGGUACAUAUGCGAGAACAUGCUCGGGGUCGUAAACAUACUUGCGGAGUUGAGAUACAUAGAAUACAUCGUGCACUCCCGCAAGCCUCGGUGGUAAUGCUAACUUAUAAGCCAUCGCGCCAAUCCGUUCUAGAAUCUCAAAGGAUCCGAUAUAGCGGGGACUUAGCUUCCCUCGAACACAGAAUCGCUUGACUCCUCGCAUAGGCGUCACCUUUAGAAAUACGCGGUCUCCAACAGUGAACUCGAUAUCUUUCCUUCGCUUGUUGGCAUAACUUUUGUGCCUCGAUUGCGCCGUUGCUAACCUUUGUCGGGCAAGGCGAACUUUCUCCUCCGCCUCACGCACAACAUCUGGGCCAAGAACAGUCCUCUCGCCCACAUUGCUCCAAUGAAUCAGCGAGCGACACUUUCUUCCAUAGAGGGCCUCGAAUGACGCCAUCGCAAUACUUUCUUGAUAGCUAUUGUUGUAUGCGAAUUCCGCCAUUGGUGAAUGAUCGUGCUAUUCGCCCUUAUAGUCAAGUACACACGCCCGAAGCAUAUCCUCAAGUAUUUGAAUAGUUCUCUCUGAUUGACAGUCACUUUGAGGAUGAAAUGCCGUGCUAAAGUCGAGCCGUGUGCCUAACACGUCUUGCAAGCUCCUUCAAAAAUGAGAUGUAAACCGCGGAUCCCGAUCCGACACAAUGGAUACCAGUACCCCGUGUAAUCUCACCACCUCGUCAAUAUAAACUUGAGCGAGCUUGUCUCCCGUCCAGGUAGUGUGGAUCGGCAAAAAGUGUACCGAUUUUGUCAACCGGUCCACAACUACCCAAAUCGCGUCAUGUCCACCUUGUGAUCUAGGCAAACCUGUCACAAAGUCCAUUGCGAUGUUUUUCCACUUCCACAAGAGUAUAGGUAGACUUUGCAACUUCCCCGCCGGAAAUCGACAUUCUGCCUUAACUAGUUGGCACGUGAGACAUUGCGCCACAAACUCUCCUAUAUCUUUCUUCAUGCCCGGCUAUCAAUAAUGUAGCUUCAAAUCUCGAUACAUUUUAGUGCCGCCCGGGUGAAUACUAUAAGGAGAUUGAUGAGCUUCUUGCAUAACCACCCUUCUAAGUUCGUCGUUCUUGGGCACACACCAACGGUUUCGAAAUAGUAGUGUGCCAUCGGUUCCAAUGCUAAACUCAUUAGUAUUACCAUUCUCAACUUUGCUCCACACUUUUUGGAGAAAUUCAUCAGACGCUUGCAAUUCUUUAAUCUUCUCCAAUAAGGUUGGUUGCACUAUCAAUGUGGCUAACGUUGCCGGCACACCCGGCGCCACAACCUCAAGACCAAACCGAUGCAUUUCUUUUUGCAAAGCCGAUUGAGGUGUAUCGGCCGUCGCCAAAUUUUUCGCCGACUUUCUACUUAAAGCAUCGGCUACGACAUUUGCCUUCCCGGGGUGGUCUAGGAUAGUGACGUCAUAGUCUUUAAGCAACUCCAACCAUCGCCGCUGUCGCAAAUUCAGUUCCUUCUGGGUGAACAGGUAUUUGAGACUCUUAUGAUCGGUGUAGAUCUCGCAAUGCUCACCAUACAAGUAAUGCCUCCACAAUUUUAGCGCGAAGACAACCGCCGCUAGCUCAAGAUCGUGGGUCGGGUAGUUCUUUUCAUAUGUCUUCAACUAGCGUGAAGCAUAUGCUAUAACUCGGCCCUUUUGCAUCAAGACACACACGAGACCAAUGUACGAAGCAUCACUAUAUACGACAUAACUCUCCCCCAGUGUCGGCAAGGCAAGCACCAGAGUAGAUGUCAACCUAUUCUUUAGCUCCUCAAAGCUUAGCUCACACUCGGGGCUCCAAACAUACUUCACCCCUUUGUGCGUAAGGCGUGUUAGUGGAGUUGUUAUCCUAGCAAACCCUUCCACGAACCGCCGGUAGUAGCCCGCAAGUCCAAGGAAGCUAUGAAUUUCCACCACACUUGUCGGGCGAGGCCAAUCUUUAAUCGCCUCAACUUUCUUUGGGUCCACCGAGAUGCCUUCACUGGAUAUAACGUGACCCAAGAAGGUAAUCUCCGAAAGCCAAAACUCACACUUCUUGAGUUUUGCAUACAGCUUUUCCUUCCGGAGUAUAUCCAACACAAGCCUUAAAUGCUCAUCGUGUUCUUCCUUCGUCCGAGAAUAUACCAAUACGUCGUCAAUGAAAACCACGACGUACCAGUCCAAUAGCGGACGGAAGACUCGAUUCAUCAAGUCCAUAAAGGCUGCCGGGGCAUUGGUAAGCCCAAACGACAUCACCAUGAACUCAUAGUGGCCAUAUCGCGUACGGUACGCUGUUUUGUGCACAUCCUUGGGCCGUAUCUUCAAUUGAUGAUACCCCGACUGAAGAUCAUUCUUAGAAUAUACCCUUGACCCUUGCAACUGAUCGAAUAGAUCGUCAAUCCUUGACAAUGGGUAUUUAUUCUUAAUCGUCACCUUGUUCAACUCACGAUAAUCAACGCAAAGUCAAAGAGUGCCGUCUUUCUUCUUCACAAAUAGCACCGGAGCUCCCCACGGAGACACACUCGGCCGCACGAAGCCUUUAUCGAGCAAGUCUUAUAACUGGGCUUUUAGCUCCUUUAACUCUACCGAUGCCAUUCUAUACGGAGCCUUCGAAACCGGCGCCGCCCCAGGAAUCAAGUCAAUGACAAAUUCGACUUCCCGGUCCGGUGGCAAUCCCGGUAACUCCACCGGAAAUACAUCCGGAUACUCGCAUACCACCCGAGUACUUUCCAACUCCGGGUGCUCCUUUUGAGGGUCCACGAUAGUCGCCAAGUAGGCCUUGCAACCACCCUUAAUCAUUUUCUUUGCCCUCACCAAUGAUAUGGUCGCCGCAAAAUGCGCACCAUUACACGCCUUAUAAACCAUCUCCUCUUGGUUAGGCUCACGGAAAGUGAUCACCUUCCUUUUGCAAUUGAUAACCGCGUAAUACUUGGAGAGCCAGUUGGUAACCAAGAUUACGUCAAACCCCACAGAUGCUUCAACACUAAUAGGUUGAUCGACAUGACCCAAUCGCCUAUCUGCACUGGGCAGUCCAAAUACUCGUCAUGCACAUGAAACGUAAGUCCAGGUGCUGUCACCGUCCAAUAAUCCUCAUAAUGCGUGACCUCUAUGUCAUGAGCUAGUGCAAAUGAUGCUGUUAUGAAUGAUUGAGNCUCCAACCCUAGCUUGAGGAGCUUAAUGAUUGAGCUAUUUGCUCUUCGUUUCGUUUGGGUGACCCUAUUUUUGAUGUUUCUAGGGUACCAGGGAGCUUGUGGAUACCUUCGUUCGGCGAAACGAAGAAGUUGAUUUUGGUGGGUUUGACUUCAUGAAAAUGGGGCAAAAUGGCUCCUAUGCCUUCUAACCCUUUUGUAAAGUAUUUUUGAAUGCAAAUUUAUGCUAAACAUGAUUUAUAUGAAUUUUAGAACACUUAACAUGCAUGCCUCAGGUAUCGUAAAAUUUGUACUCCAUAUAGUAGAGCUAUAUGUGUAGAUUGCAUGCAUUGUGGAUAGUGCUUGGUUUCGCAAGUUGAGAACAUGUCUCCAUGCUAGAAUUGAGUGAACUAUGCAUCAUGAACAUAUUAAUGCCAUGCUUGGGACUCGUUGAACAAAAGUGUCAUAAAGGGGCACUUAGGAUUAGUAAACUAUGAAACUGCAACAUAGAGACAUAUCGAUAGGCCACUAUUUAUCCGCUACAUUCCAUGUUAGAGACAUGAUGACAUAGGGAUAGGUCAUUGGGAUACUUGACACAUUCCAUGCUAUUAGACAUGAGGAUUUGAUACUUGCGAUAGAUCGUUUGACUACUUGCCAUUGUGCUUAUUCGCACAUGCUUGUGAGGGUCGCUCCCUACAAGCCGGCACUCCGGAGAUAGCCAUCGCGAUUCGUAUUCACCGUGCGGGAUUGGGCGCCGAAAUGGAUCGCCGUGGGACAGGCUCAUUUCUAGGGUGGGAAUGAUGACUACCACGGGGCCAUUAGGCUCGGCACUGGCCAGACAGCCUACGGGUGGGUCUCAGGGCCAUAGACAGCCUUCGGGUGGGUCUCUUCAGAUUUGACUUUGAGUAUUCAUUAUGACAUGUGGACAGAUGAUGACUUAGUGUACUACUUGGACAUUGGCUAGAAUAGUAAACAACGGAGCUUCACUAUUC
RNAcentral lists this long non-coding RNA (49186 nucleotides) under Ananas comosus (pineapple). RNAcentral's name for it is "long non-coding RNA (ACOM_LNC005504)". Lineage: Eukaryota; Viridiplantae; Streptophyta; Magnoliopsida; Poales; Bromeliaceae. The record is from RNAcentral.